This 57879-nucleotide long non-coding RNA is filed under the name Olea europaea (common olive). RNAcentral's name for it is "long non-coding RNA (OEUR_LNC002860)". The record is from RNAcentral. Lineage: Eukaryota; Viridiplantae; Streptophyta; Magnoliopsida; Lamiales; Oleaceae.
AACUAGGUUUUUCAAGUUUAUAUUUUUCCGAAUAACGAACAUCAAUACGCUCAUACUUGAAUAUUACCCUAGAGAGUACUACGUUUCAGGCAUCAAAAGUAUGCAUAGUCUCCAAGUGCUAAAAUUAGAUUCCUUAUAUGUCUCCAACAUUAGCAACAUGGUGCAAUCUUUGAGGGCAUUCGCUUACCUCAAGCACUUCUAUUUUCGGUACAAUUAUGUGAACGGAAGCAUUGGAUCUUAUGGUAAGCCAAAGGAGCUAUAAUUCCUAGUCACAUAAAUUAUAAUACUAAUUACAAUAUGAACUCCAAUUCUCAUGCACAUUCCAUUGCUUACAUGUAUAAGACUUGAGUCAUUUAAGACGGCUUGAGGGAUUGUUCUUGGAUAAUUCUAUUGUGGAUUGGAACUUUCUACAAAGUAUUGGAGCACUAACUUCUCUCAAGAUUUUAUCUCUGUCCAAUUGCGGACUCAAUGGUACCCUUCUUGUUCAAGGUAAACGUCAACGGCUUGUUUGGUGAACAAUGUUUUUCAUAACUUGGCAUGCUGCUCUUCAAUUAUUUCUAUUUUCACAAUUUUAAAAUUUUCCUUGCAUCUCAAUCGAACUUUUGGUUAAUGAAUGCAAGGUCAUCUCACAAUUCUCUUUUUGAUUGAUUACCUCACUAUUAAAUAUAGAAAAUAAUUUGUGAAAAAUAAAAAUGAACCAGAACAUUUGUUUUGUAUCAAAAGAAGUAUUUAACUUUGUCAAUUAGGACUUCAUAAUUAAUAUAAUUUAAAGAGGUUCGGCUAACCUUAUAUAGUUAAAAGUAAUAAAAUUUUUACAAUCUAUAGCUUUUUUAUAGGUGAGAGUGGAAAUAAGUUAAUAGUUGCAUUCAAAAUAAUUAACUUAUUUCUGUCUCACCAAUAAAAAAAUUUAAUUUUAAAAAGGGAAACUUUCUCACUUGAAAGUAAGUCCAGAGUUGAAAAAAAUUGCUUUCUUUUAUAAGCAGAGCCUUUAUAUUCCCUAUUUCAUUGGUGGGUUUUGAAGUAGUAUUUGUAUUCGUUUGAUUUGCAGGAUUGUGUGAACUUAAAAAACUCCAAGAGUUAGAUCUUCGUUGGAAUGAGUAUGAAGGAAUACUUCCUUCAUGUGUUGCAAACAUGACAUCUCUUAGAGUAGUUGAACUCUCACACAAUACAUUCACCGGAAAUAUUGCCUCCCCUCCACUUUCGAAACUCACAUCACUUGAAUAUCUCUCCAUUUCAAGUAACAACUUUCAAGUUCCAAUUUCAUUCAAGGCAUUCUUUAAUCAUUCAAACUUUAAGUUUUUAUUUUUGGACAAUAAUGAAAUAAUAGAUGACAAUGAGUUGGGAAAUUGGGUUCCCAAUUUUCAACUAGAGGCUUCUAGUAUGUCGAAUUCAAGAGGUCCUCCAUCGUUACCCCACUUCCUUUACUAUCAAUCCAAUUUGAGAUUUCUUGAUCUCUCAAAUAACAGCAUAGGACCGAAUUUUCCAACUUGGUUGCUGGAGAACAACACAAGACUUUGGGGACUAAACCUGAGGGAUAAUGUUUUUAUAGGACCUCUCAAGUUGCCAACAAGCACCAAUCCCAACAUGGAGAGUUUUGAUGUAUCUAAUAACAAGUUCAAUGGACAUGUUCCAACUAAUAUAACUUCAAUUUUUCCAAACUUGGUUGCGUUAAACAUAUCAACAAAUAUGUUUGACGGUUGUGUACCUAGUUUCAGUGACUUGAAAUCUAUAGAAUAUAUAGACUUGUCCAGCAAUAAUUUAUCAGGCACAAUACCACAGGAAGUAGUGAUGGGAUGCUUUUCUUUGUAUUUUCUCAAAUUUUCGGAUAAUAAAUUGCAAGGACAAAUAUUUCCAGAAUCUAUCAACCUACAAUACUUGAGAUAUUUAUAUCUGGACAGUAAUGAGUUCUCAGGCACCAUUCCGAAGAGCUUGUCUACCAUGGAUCUUUCAACGUUAGACAUUAGUAACAAUUGUUUGUCGGGCAGAAUUCCUACAUCAGUGGGUAAUAUGACAGCAUUGAGGGAAAUUUCUCUUUCUAACAACCAACUCGAGGGUCCAAUUCCGGAGGAAAUUUGCAAUCUCGAUCUUUACCUCUUAGAUUUAUCUGAGAACAAGUUAUGUGGUUCAGUCCCAUCUUGCUUCAAUCCAUCACGGAUGGAUCAUGUCUAUCUGAAUAAUAAUCAAUUGGAGGGUGAGCUCCCAUAUGCAUUUCAUAAUUGCUCUUAUUUGGAGUUAUUGGACCUUAGACAUAAUAAGUUCAUUGGAGGUAUCCCUCAUUGGAUUGGCAAUCUAUCAAUGUUGAGUAUUAUUCUUCUCGGAGGUAACCACUUUGAAGGCACAAUCCCUUACCAAUUUUGUGAGAUGGACCAACUAAGCAUGAUAGACCUUUCCUUUAAUUUUCUUUCGGGUCAAAUCCCGCCUUGCUUCGGUAACAUCACCAUGAAGAAUUCUGGAGUGUUUGAAAGAUCAAUCUAUAUGUACAAUGGAAAAAUUGUGUCUUUCUUAUAUAAGGUUAUGUUAGAAAGGCCCUCUCACAUAACUUUCGGAAGAAGUCAGUAUUUCUCCGAAAUUUUUGGCAAGCUUGGUUUCACGCCAAUUAGAGCGACAUUCAUGACAAAGAGAAAUUAUUAUACUUACAAAGGUCGCAUCCUCAAUUACAUGUCAGGAAUUGAUCUCUCUUCUAAUAAAUUACAUGGUGAAAUUCCGGAUGGCCUUGGAAAUUUAAGUGAGAUCCACUCACUCAACUUGUCGCACAACUAUCUUAUUGGAACAAUUCCAGAAACAUUCUCAAACCUACGUCAGAUUGAGAGCUUAGAUCUCUCCUAUAACAACUUAGGUGGGAGGAUCCCUACCGGUUUGAUCAAGUUAAACAAUUUGGCAGUCUUCAGUGUGGCGCACAACAAUUUAACAGGUACGAUACCAGAGAAAUUUCAGUUUGGGACUUUUGAUGAAGGUAGUUAUCAGGGAAAUCCUUAUCUUUGUGGCCAUCCAUUACGUGUCAACUGUACUAGCACCGGACCAACACCUGUCUUGCCAUUUGCUGAUGAUGAAAGUGAGGAGCGCGGUUUUAUGGACAUGGAGUUCUUCUAUAUAAGCUUCAUCUUAUCUUAUUUAUGUGUAGUGAUUUGCAUUGCUACAGUUCUAUCCAUAAAUUCUCACUGGAGAAAAGCAUGGUUUCAUUUCAUCGAGGUUUAUAUAAUCCAUUUUUGAGGCCGUGUGUUCUAGACAGGAUUCCCAUUUUCCAAAUCAAGGUAUCUGCUUUAAUUCUGUAUGAAGAUCAUCAUAUACUAUACUAACUUUUAUAACUAGUAUAGAUUUACAAUCUAUCUAAUCAAUUAUGUCAUUUUUCCUUCUAGAUUUGAUAAUUCGAAAGUAACGAAGCAGUGAAGGCAAUUAUAACAGCAUGGUAGGAAGCAAAGAUGGCCAUGUGUGUAUGCAAAGUGGCCAUGUGUGUAUAUUCAAUCAUAGAAGUAUGAAAUAAUUUUGAAUUCCGUACUUGUAUUAAUACAUGGAAAGGUGAUUUGUUUCCCAGCUAAAUAUUUUUGUUUGAGCAAAAAAGAUAAAAAAAUAAAAUAAAAAAUAAGGAGCAACAUGGCAUUUGAUUUCUAAAAGAUUUAUAUUUGAGCUUCUUCAUUUAUUCUUUUUCCCUAGUCCAUACAUAGAAUUUGCGCAUUAACUUUGAGUCACAUUUUGUCGAAGAGAGAGUUCGCAACCUAUUAUUCAGAAUUCAGUUUUUUGUUCUUGUUAUCAAAAGUGAUUGUACCUUGGAAGGAUCAUUUUUGGACUUUUCAUCUAUGGAUGCAAACUUUGCCUGGGCGUGGACUCAACGGCACCCUUUCCAAUUAGGUAAAUUUCUCACCUUCCAAUGAGUUUAACUUUGACAUAUAUAAGUUUCUCGCUUUGUUUGUGUAUGUUUUUCUUCAAUUAUUUUUGUUACCUGAUUUGAAUUUCACUAUUUCUAUUCUAUUCAAUUGAACUUUUUCUUAUUUUUUUUACAAAGAAAUUAAAAAAAAAAAGGUGUGAUUAAUGCUAAGUGGUCGUUCUUUUCAUAUAUAUAUAUAUUUUCAUACUAGAAGCAUGCAUAUAUAUAUUUAAAAUUGAAAUUAUUAAAGGGAAAAAUAAUUCUUUAGCUGACACAUUAACUAGAUAAUUUGCAAUUACAGGUAAAAAUGACAAACAUUGAAGAUCAGAUUGAUGAUCUGGAAAUGUAAAUUGAGAUGGAAGAAAUUGAAAUCUCAACGAAGUAGCAAAAGGUAAAAGUUCUACCUAAACCUGAACAAGGAACUAAUUUCCAAGAAUCAACAAGUUAUAAUCCGAAAGGAGAUGGAAAAAGGAUUGAAGGGGAUAACAUUCCUAGACCUAAUCCUAAAAAUGAAUAUUCAGAUCAGAAUCUUUUACAAUCUGAAGAUAUACCAAAAAAAAGUAACCUGCAAGUUACAAUUCUAGACUUAGGUUGUACUCUAGAACCUGACAAACUUAUUGAUGCAUGGUAUAGCCAUAUUAUGGUAGCCAUGAUAACCAAUAAGGAAAUUAUUAAAAGUGAAGCUAAUUCAUGGAAUUAUGUUUUAGACUUCUCCAUUCAUGCAUUGUCUUUUCAUUGACACAUUCACGUUGUCCUUCAAUUGGUUUAUUUAGAAUAACCUCUGGGAUGGUUUUGAUCUGAAUAUGGUGAUAUCCCUUAAUCAGGAGUCCUUCUUUAUUCCAGAAUGGAAUUGUACUGCAUAUAUAGAUAUACCAAAAGAGGUAGUUAUGACUAGAUUUAUUAAGAAAACCAUAAGAAAAUAAUUGUUCACGUUACCAGCAAAUUUAAAAUAAUAUGGAAGGACAAACAAAAAUGAAUCCGAGCGUCAAUUUGUAUUGGAAGGAAAGCUAACUUCAUUAAUAAAAAUUUUAUAAUCAAUCCCAAUUUUCCUUAUCUUUGUUUGGUUCGUUAAUAAUUAAUUUAACAGGGUGUUGUCAACUUAAUAAAUUGGAGGAGCUCGAUUGGAGUAGAAAUAUCUAUGUAGAAUUACUUCCAUCAUGUCUAGAGAACAUGACAUCUCUUCCGAAUGAUCAAGGCCUCAAGGAAUAAGUUCUGUGGAGAUAUUGAUGUGUCUUUGCUGUCGAAACUUACACCAGUCAAACAAUUCCAUUUCAAAUAAAAUUCACAUGCCCAUUUUCUUUGAGGCUUUAUUUACUCCCUCAAGUCUUUGUUUCAUAUUUGCCAAAGAAAAUGAAGUAAUAGCAAGUAUUGUGUUAUGAAAAUGGGUCCCUAACUUCCAACAAGAAGUUUUCAGUUGGUUAAAUUGCCAUCUAACUCUACCUCAUUUUUUGGGAAUUCUUGAUCUCUCACGUCACAACUUGGGGAGAAAUUAGCCAAUUCGUUAAAGAACAACACUAGACUCAAAGGAGCCUACUUUAGAGAUAAUGCUUUUAGGGGAACUCUCAAGUUGCCAGCAAGUACCAAUCUCAAUAUGGAGACUUUUGAUAUUUCUAAUAAUAAAUUUAUUGGACAUAUUCCAACUAAUAUAAGUGUAAUAAUUCCAAAUUUAAUUCCAAUAAACAUGUCCAAAAUAUGCUUAAUCGUUGUGUAAAUGUUAUGUCAAAGGUCCAAUCGAUUUCAUACAUAAACACUUUCAAUACGAUUAAAUUAAAUUAAUUACUUUCAUACAUAAACACUUUCAAUAUUUUCCAUAUAUUUAUGGAAAAUAUAUCAUUUAAUUGAAUUAUUAUUCUGAUAAAUUAAAUUAAUAAAGUUCAUAGAUUUAAAUUUUGAUAACGUGUUAAUCAGAAUGAGUUGUGACCGUGAAAACAAAUUACAUAUGACUGAAUUUAAAAUUAUACAUAGUAGUAAAUAAUAACAAGAAACGAAUAUCGAUACUAUGGAUAAACCAACACGUUUGGCAUUUCUCACUUAUGCUGUGAGUAGCUAAUAUUUAAAUGGAUAUGUGGAUAUUUUAUUAAGAGAUUUCACGUGGAUAACCAUUCGAGAAUCGGUGGUUAAUCUCCAAUGUUCAAUAGUGUAAUAGGUCCUUAGACUUGAUGUCAUUAUAGUGACUUAUAUGAAGACAGUCAUAUUUUGGUGGUGUCGGUCAUCCUGAAUCACCCUAAUGUAUCCAAAAUGUGACCUGCAUCGAUGAUAGAUGCUGACUAAAUAUCAGAUCUACCACCAAGGCUGACUAUGAGUCACUAAUAAUUAUUAUCCAAAAUAAGAUAAUUAUCAAUAAGAAAUAAUGCAAUGGCCCAAAAUAAUUAUUUCAUGCUUUAUUAAAAUGACUCAUAUCACUCAACCCCUGUUUAGCCUCCAUUAAAACUCAUCAAUUUAAUUUAAAUUUUUUUCUCUCUUAUUUUCAACCACAUAAUGUUCAAUAAAAUAAUUACAUGCAAAUCGAAAAUUUUUCAUUCUUUUGCAACCAUUCAUUUUUCAGAGGAAUACCAUUCCCCCAUUAUAAAUCCAAAUAAUGGGGCCAAACAAAGGCUCAAUAUGCCAUCUAGCUUUAACUCCGAAAUCAUCGGGCUCCUUAAGCCAUCAAGAACCAAUUGCUACUUAUAAGAAAAAUCAUGGGAAAAUAUAUAAGCUAAUAGCUUAGCGAGUGAAAUUUUUGAAAUAUUUAUACUUUCUCAUUUGUACAUAUUUAUCGAAACUCGAGUUCAUGUCAUUUAAUAAUUCAUAGAAUAACUUCAUAUAGUUAUAGCCAAAAAAUGAGAUAUUCUCAUAAUUUUGCAAAAUAUCAUCUCAUCCCAUCACAUGUAAUCCACCAAAAAAUGUACUAUUUGACUGAAAUUUGUAAUCCGCUCCUCGGGCCAAGCGCUUUCGCCAUGAGCCUUUGGCCUCUUUCCUGAAUGAAAAAGCGGAUUUCAAAGAUCAAUUCUAGAACACAAUCAAGGCCCUUCUAUAAACUGUAUGUAAACAGUCAAGACCUGUGUAAGAUAGAAUAUGGCCAAGGCUCCUCUGUGAACUAAAAAAAGUAUAUAAUCAUGGGUACUCUUCUAGUCGAUCUUGAUAUCACAUGUAUCACCUUCCAGUUCACAAUUAAUCCAUAUACAAUCUUUGAAUUCCAUAUAUAUCACAGUGGAAGAACAUUUCCGUAUCAAUAAUGUAACUAAACAAAUAAUUCACAUAAUCACACGUAAUAUAAUAGUAUAAGUACUUCAUAAAUAUUUGAAAAUAUAUAAGUUUUUCCACUCAACAAUUUGUAGAUCGAUCGUGACUUCAAAAUUCUCAUCACCUCCUCACGUUCAAAUACCAAAGCACUCGUCCCAAGAUAUCAUACCUCCUCACUAAAGUGCUUUGAGCAUUUUUCCUACCAUUAGAAAUAGAAAUAAUAAUUUACUAAUAAGAACUUGGAGUCUUAUUAUCAGUGUAAUGUCAUAAUACCAAUUAGAGUCACUAAUAACAUAUCCACCUUUAUAUAAGUUAUUUCAACAGCUAAUUCCCAGUAUUUAACGCUUAAUUUGGUUCUCAUACUAAAAAUCCAAGAAAAUCAAAAUAUUAUCAAAACCAGCACUGUAUUUCAAGACUAUUGAAAUGUGGCACCAAAUUCUGUAUAUUGGAAAGUAUCACCGAAACCAUUAAUAGAAAUAGCACUUUCUGGAAAUCAAAAUAUUAUGAAAACCAGCACUUCUUUUUUCUCUCUUUCUUUCCUUUUCUUCUCCCGUUUUUCCCUUUCUUGAUUUCUUUCUCCUUCUAGUUUCUUCCUUUGUAAAAUGAACCCCUUUCCUUUUAUUUUAAAAGAUUAAUACAAUGUAAAUGAAAAUCAAAUCCUUAGUCUUCUUACAAUAUAACUUUUAGCCCUUAGUAAUAGAGAACUAAGUCCAUUAAUUCCUAUUUUAUUUUAUCUCUAGCCCUUUUCAUGUAUUAGUAAUUAAAAAUUAAGUCCCAUGAAAUUAUUUGUUCAACUUAAAUCCUUAUUUUGACCGACUUUGACCCAUUGAAUUUUUUCCUCGACUUUGAUUAAAUAAUUUGUUGACUUUGACCAUAAUGAGUGGGGUGUAACAUUGGAUGUUGCUUUACCAGGAGUCACCAAUAUGACAUCGUUUAGGUAUGUUAAAAAUCAUAUAAAUGUUGUGAAUGAUCAAUAGAGAAUUCGAUACUCUUAGAUAGUAAGAGAUUAUAUUUAUGUUCCAUUCAGUUAAGUUGAUAUCGAAAUAAUUGUCCAAGGUAAGUAUGUAAGUUGAAAAGAGUUUCGAUUAUCAUUGUUUUAAGAGUUGAAUAAAAGAUAUGAUCUAUAGUCGACAUUCGCAAACUUUCAUAUCUCACAAUUGAUCGAAUCACAUAGGCAAAGGGAUUAUAAUCUAAUGGUAAACCGACAAAUUUGAUUUUUUUUGUACCAUGUGAUAUUUUCAUCACGUGUAAUGCCCUUACAUAUUGUGGAACAAUGACUAUGAAUUAAUUAAGCUAGAAAAAUUAAUGAUAAAUUAAAAAGAAGUUUAUUUUUUCUUAUUUUAAUUAUAUCAAAAUAAUAAUUCAUGUCAUUCGAUAUCAUGAUCAGAACUCCUUAGAAUUCCACAUAAAAGGGAGAACUAGUAGAAUGAUAUUAUAAAUUAAAUAAUUGAAAAGUGUUGGACAUUUAUAAAAUUAAUUAUUUGGAUUGUUUAUUAAUGGAUAUGGACUUCAGUUAAUUGAUUAGAUUAAUUAACUCAUAGAACAAGUUUAACUAAAUAGAUUAAUUAAAUAUGUGGAAAUUACGCCACCCACCUUAUUUGUAGUAAAUAUUUAAAAAAUACUAUGUUAUCUUUUAUUUCAAUAAAUGAUGUAUUUUGUUAAUAAAAUGAACACAUUGAAGAUUUCUAAAUUAAAAGAAUAUUAAAUUAGGUAAAAUAUUUUACUCAUUUAAACACGCCUUUACAUCUAAUACAUUUUGAUUUCUAUAAACAUGCUCGUGUCAAAUGGUGUGAUUAGCCCAAAUGUGUUCAUUCCGUUUAUUACAACUACGUUUGCGUGAUCUCUGCUUGCGAUACAAUAACAGGGAUGACUGUAUUAUACAUAUUAGCUGAAAAUUAUUCGAAAUCAAAUAUCAUAUAAUCGUAUCAGGCUAAAUGGAUGUAUAAUGUCUACUACAUAUCUGAAACAUGCACAUGGUGUUGGUCAAUAUGCAGGAGAAUUUCCAUGGUAAAUUUGCAACAUAUCAGAAAUUAAAACAUAUGUCAAUACAUUCUAGUAUCAGGGAUUUCGAACCAUGUAUUCGAAUUUUAUAGAUUUCACGAGUUGUGUAUACCCAGACAUGAAAAAAUAUCGCAAGAACAAUGUAUGACACUCAAACUCUAAAAUCUUUCACCAAACUUGCACAAUGUUUAGAAUAAUUUCUAGGCAAUCAUUUUUUUUUUCUCUCUUCUAUCAAUUCAACGAAAGUUUGUGUAUAUAAACAAAUCCCUAAAAAAAAUUCCAAAUGUACAAAUGGCAUAUAAACUAGGUGAAAAACAUAUCCCAAAUUUGAGAUAUUUUCGUAAAUAUACUGAUUCAGAGUGUGAAAUAUCUCCCUGGAGAUAGAGAUUUUCGGUUGUAGAUACGGCAAUUUCUAUGAUCCUGUCGAGUGUAGCAAUCACGGUGUGGUCAAACAACGAAAGCCUUUCUUCUUCUUCAAUCAAAUCAGAUUUUUGAAGUGUUUUUCUUUUUAGGAAGAGGUGUUUAAUGGGAGGCACGAAGGAUGGAGUAUUAAAACAUUUCAGUUACAAGAUAGUAUUUUCAGUAUUAUUUAGUUGAUUUUUUUUUUUUUUUUUUUUGGGUUCUAAUUUUGGAAAAUGGUAAUUUUUAAUAUAUUUCAUAAUCAAGAUAGUUUUUUGGUGUUUUAAACGUUACCUAGUAAAACCUGAAAUAAUAUUUUCAAAUGAUGCAUUUACAAAUUUUUUGGAUUAAAUAUUUGACUAGCUUAUGUUUAAUGGUGGGUAAACUACAUAAAAAUAUAUUUAUAAUUACCAGAAAGAGAAAUCAAAAUCUCUUAUGUUUGUUCUCCUGUGCGGCUUAUCAUCAGAGGCUAGACAAUUAGACAAAUGUGGUAUGAAAAGAUCGUGACUCACAAAGGGGUACAAAGAUAUCAAUUGUUUAUUAUCAAAAUUCUCAAAGGGGUUAGAAGGCCUUGCUAUAUGUAAAAUUCUAAUCAUGAUAUCUAUCUACAUAAAAAGAAGAUCCUUGAAGGGAACUAAAAUUAUUUUUAAAUUUCAUUGUGCAUGUAUAAGUAAAUUUCUAACUAUACCAUAUAUUGACGGAGACUUGAAAUCUUUAGUAUCAACCUUGAUACUUUUGGCCUCUUAGAUAUAUCAUAGAACAAUUUAUCUGGCUCAGUCCUGUCUUGCUUCAAUAAAUCAAGCAUAAGUUUGGUCUAUCUUAACAAUAACCACUUGGAAGGUGCUCUUACCCAUGGAUUAUUUAACAAUUCUUUUUGGUGACAAUGGAUCUUAGAGAGAAUAAAUUCAUAGGAAGUAUCCCUCAAUGGAUUGGCAAUCUAGCAAUCUUGAGCAUUAUUCUACUUGGAGGCAAUCAUUUUGAAGGCAUAAUUCCUUACCAAUUAUACCAAAUAAGGGUUAGCAAGUAGACCUAUCUUAUAAUAGCCUCAAUGGUUAGAUGCCACACUAUUUGGGUAACAUAACACUAGAGGUAAACGAGAUAAUGUAUAUCAUGGUUCGGGAGAUACCUUUUCCUCAGUAGUCACAUUCAGGUCAUUGUUGGGUUGGUGCCUCUUCAGCGUUAACAAUGGAUUUGGAGGAAGGCAAUUUUGAGUUUACCUCAUUUUCAUCUCUCUCUAGAGAAUAUAGAUAAUGGUGGAUGCCUUGGCAAAAACUUGGGGGACAACUAUCAAGUGAAAAUGGUAAUGUUUCGAAUUGAAUCUUUCUACAUUGUAGAAAGAAGCCGCGUACUUCCUUCCCUUAUGAGUAAAGGAAAACCAUAAUAAAGUUUGGUUAUAAAAAACGAAGAGGAUUGAAUGAAAGCCCAAUACAUGAUGGGAUGCCUCUUUCAAAAAAAAAAAAAGAAAGAAAAAAAAAAAAGACAACCUGGAUUAGAUUGAGUUCUAAAGGGCCUGCCAUGUGUCUCUCCAAAAAGUAGAAGAAUUCGGAUUCAAGGAUGGGCAAAUUACGGUAACAUUACAACAAAGAAAAAUUUGUAUUCUUACAAGGGUAGUAUCCUCAACCACACAUCAAGAAUUGAUCUUUCUUCUAAUUAUAAAUUAUAUGGUGAAGUUUUAGAUGAACAUGGAGAGUUAAGGGAGAUUUGUGAACUAAACUUGUCCCACAACAAUCUUAGUGGGACAAUUCCAUCAACAUUCUCAAAUCUACGUCAAUUCAAUAGUUUGGAUAUCUCCUAUAACAACUAAUGAUGGACAAUCCCCACUGGCUUGAUCAAGUUAAACUCCUUAGAUGACUUUAGUUUGGUGUGUAAUAGUUGGAAACAAAAGACAUCUCUCAAUUUAAGUUUUCCAUUCAAAUAUAAUUGAUAAAUGUAUAUAAUGAGAGUCCUAUGCGAUGGGGUCUGAAGUUGAGGACAUGUUACACUACAAAAGAGUUUAAAUUCACGAGCUUCAACAAACCUAAAAGGUAGCUCAUCUAGUAUUACCAUCUUAGCACAUGCAACUUUGACCUCUUCCUUACUAUGACCAAUAGCUAUAAGAUUGCUCCCAUUACCCUCUUUUCGAUUCUCAAAAGAUAUGAUGUUUUGCUUCUUGUCUUGCAAUAGACCAGAAUACUUCUUACAAUUAUUCAUGAAGUGGGUACCCAAAGUGCUUGUGCCAUACUUAUAGCCACAAGCAUAAUCUACUCCACACUAGUUACACUUACGCCUAACAUUUGGAUCAUCCCUUGGACCCAAUAAUGCAAAGAAAUCACAGACACAUGAAGCUAUUCCAUGAAAUUUUCACUUUCCUAAUGUUGAUAGUGGAUGUGGAGGAAGACUUGAUAGCAUAUAUGUGUCAUAUAAUUGAGCUGGCAUGUCAUUUUCUUCACACAUAUUGAUAUCAACCAACAUAUUCCACCAAAAAGUACUAAUCAAACAAAUAAAACUACAAAAGUAUUAAUGCACCAUAAGAAAGCAAGAAUAUUGCACCCGUGUCCAUUUUACUUGAGGCUUUUGCAAAUAACAACAAAACACGUUAACUUGCAUUAGUAUUACCAUGAGAAAAAAAAGAUUAUUAUUACCACCAUGAAAUAAACUGAAUUUAAAGAAUAUGUGCUUUACAAACUUCAAUAGACGUGUGGUUGGAAGCUCCAAACUAUACAAAAGAAUAAUAGUCACAAUGCACAAACACUGAUAAUAACAUUUAUCAUAUUCGUGCACUUCCAAUUGCAAUCUCGUAUCUACUCAUAAUGUACUGCAAGUGCAUUAUUUUGCAUUAAACCAUUCUCAUGGUAUUCAUAUUUACAUCUUCCAUAUUCGUUAGGCAUAUUGCAAUCUAGAACAAAUCGCAUUUUUUGCGAUGAUAAAAUAAGAAGAUAAACACCAGACUUAUGGAACAUUAUUUAUUUAUUUUUUACAAAUUUUUUGGGAUUCAUUCAUAGCAUCAUCUUGCCGAUAAUUUUUAGUUUAUCAUCAAAUAACUUUGCAUUUGUACAUAGUAUUCCUGCAACUAACCAUGUCUAGAAAAAAGGAACAAUUAUACAUUUUAAGCCAUUCUUUUGUCUCCAGUAAUGUAUCUAUUUAGUCUAACAUCAAUUAAUUUCACAAGGUAUUCUAACUAUAAUUAAAAUGUAAUCAACUUCAUAAUGAUAUAAUGUUGCUAACCAAUUAAUAUCAGUUACUAUCUUUGUUAGAUAUUAUUAAUCAACUUUCUUAAACAACAACAACAACAAAAUGAACAAAUUAAACCAAAGUGAGCUAAAUGAAUAUACAACAGUUUUUAAUUUUAUUUUUUUUCCCCAAACAACUAAGAACCCCCGAAAGCAAAACACAGAACCCAAAUAUUAAUUCAAUUAUUCAGAAUUUUGACGUCCAAACUAAUGUAAAACUGGAAUGGACAAAUGAAUUAAUAAAAUAUAGAAUUGUUUCCGGCUGUCGGUGAGUAAUUGUUAUACGGAUUUAAUGAUAUAAACAAUAACCAGGUUACCUCUAGUGAUCAAUUGAAUAUUCUCUCGGUAGAUGCAUUUUUUAAAAUCAAAUUUCAAGGGAUAUAUAAUAUAUUCUAAAGAAUGGGAUUGCCAACUAUACAGGAAAAAAAUCAAUACCAUAUGCUUACUCCAUACAAUUCCUUCAAGUUGGAUAAUUAAACAACAACUUUAAUUUUAAGUUCAGCAAACCUUGUAAUUGGGAAUCUUGUCCUUCAAUUCAAGCAUUUAGCACAAAAAUCACGUCAAAAAAGUGAGACGAGAGACUGAGGCACGAGCAGAAGCGAGAGAAUAUGAGAGGUGGAAGAGACGAGAGGCACAGAAGAAAAUUGAAAACUGAAUGGUUUGAAAUUGAUUUUUAGGUUUUUAAGUACUAUUUUUCUGUAAUAUUUUUUUAUUUAUUGGGUUGGGUUGGGUUGGGUUGGGUUGGAUUGAGUAAAUUUUAACGAAUAAACCCAAGACAUGAACUGACUAAUCUAAAAUUGAACUCCCAAAAUUUAUGAAUUUUUUCUAAAUGCUUUAUUAAUUCUUAUAAUUGUUCAUAUGCACUCUAGUUAAUUCUCAAUUGUUCCGAAUAAACUCUAUUUAAGAUUCAAAAGAUCAUUUUCAUGCCAAUUGUAUUCAAGUUGGAUUUUUUUCUACAAUUAUUAUAGAAAAUUAGAGUGCAUUUGGUUCGUCGCUAAUAAUUAGGGCGGGAUUAUUUGAUCCUGCCUAAAAUCCUGCCUUUGUUUGCGUGUUAAUUAAUGAGUAUUUCAAUGACCAAAUUGAACUUGGUCAGUGGAGCUAUAUCCUGCAACAACCACUUUGUUGUCGUUGAUAGCCUGGGGAAAAAACCCCGCUUUUUUUCAGUUUGUGAAUGGUGGGUUGCAGUGAUCACAACAAACUUGGUAGUAAUUAUGCUUUUGUAGUUACUGUUGUAUGUUUAUUGUUAAUUUCUUUAAUUUAGUUAUUUUCUCUUAUGCAUUCUUUAUUAUAUUAAUUAAUUGAAAAACUAUUAAUAAGUUAUAGCAAAUAACAUGUGGUUGCUCGAAGUUUACCUAAACUAUUAAUCAAAAUAUUAGCAGACCAAAUAUUGGUUGUUAAUUGUGUUUUACUGAAUUAAUAUGUAGCAACUAGAUUUUGGCCAGUAAAUGCCUUCUGCCCGGUGACAGGUAUUAUUUUUUAUCAACUAUUCUUCAAAGACCAAUAUAUGGUCGUUGUUAGUAUAUCUUCGCCAACCAAAUAUUAUUUGUUGAAAUAUGGUAAUUUUUAAUUACUAAUGCUUUUACCGACCAACACUUGAUUGCAAAAGGAUGCAAAUUAACCAAAUUUUUACCCUAAACCGAGCAUGUUACUGACCACUGUUUUGGUCAUUGAAUAUAUACAAUUCAGUGACCACUUGUCAUUGGUCACCAAAGACAUCCACUGACUAUGAAUUAGGGACCAUAAUAUUUUGGUAACGGUCUUUGGUGACCAAAAUAUUGCCUUUACCUUCCGAUUUUAUUCGUUCCCAGAGAUUUUAUUUUUUGUAGGAUCUUAGAGAAUAAAUUCAUAGUAUCCCUCAAUGGAUUGGCUACCUAUCGAGCUUAAGCAUUAUUCUACUUGGGGGCAACAAUUUUGAAGGCAUAAUUCCUUACCAACUAUGCCGAAUGAGGAUUCGUAUGAUAGGCACACUUUAUAAUAGCCUCAGUGGUCAGUCACUGCACUAUUUGAGUAACAUAACACUAGAGGUAAAUGAGAUGAAGUCUGCAAUGGUUCAAGGAGGUACCUUUUCUUCGGUCGUCAUACUUAGGUCGUACAUGGAUAGGAUUGAGUAUGAAAGGGCUUAUCAUGUUUCUCUACAAAAAGUAGAAGAAUUCGGAUUCACAGUUGGGCAAAUUAAAAUAUUAUAACAAAGAAAAAAUUGUAUUCUUCUGUUAAUCAAUGACUAAUGAUUUUUCAUGCAAAAUGAUAACGUUCUUUCACAUAGCAUUAGUGACUGAUGGUAUGAAUUACAGGUUUUGCUUCAAAUUAAAAACUUGUUUAUAUCCUUCAGCGACAUCACAUGAAGAAGGAAACAAUGAACCACAAGGCAUGGAUUGAAAGUUUCGCAAUAAGAAAAAACAAUAGACCAUAAUUCAUGAAAUAGCUAUGAGUUUUAAGGUUUUGCUUCUCAUGUCAUCAUUCCAAAAGGCAUGGAUAGAGAGUCAGAAAAAACAUUUACCACUCUUAAAAUGGACAAUGAAAGUCUUCUCAUGUUUGAAAAAUGUUGUAGUUGUAGAAAAAUGGAGUCCUUGAUUAAAUGUGCAGCUAAUUCUCACCAAAGUUGUGCUUCUCAUCAAAGUUGUAUUCUUAGUCCUCAAUAGCUUCAUCUUCUUCAUUAUAAUUAUUCUCUAUUAACAAUGGGGUUAUGGGUUGUACAACGAAGUUAGUAACUUUACCAUAUAAUUGGUACAUAAAAUGCAACUUAUGGGGUGACCAGGUUGGUGGAAUAGGUGAGCACAGAGACCUUUAGUCAUGAGUUCGAUUCUCUUUAUCAACUCUUUUCCAGUCAAGCCUGUCGCACCGGGCUUGCCUAGUGCUAUUUAUUUGGUUGGCAUGAUUUGCAAACUAUUGCAUUAGCCCGAGGGUUUAUCUAGUGCACACCUAAAGGAUGGCGACUGCGAGUUCCCCCGUUAUAAAAAAAAAUGCAGAACGUAUUUGUUUCAUUAAGAAAUAUCUACAUCAAUUUCCUAAGUUUAACCCUGACGGAUAGUUUAGUGGUCAAUCCUUGGGUUUGUUCUCCAACGAUCACCAGUUCGAGUCUCCUCAGGACCAUUGAGAUGAAUACUUGACUAUAAACUUUAGAGCCCCGUGAGAUUAGUCGAAAUGUGCGUAAGCUGGCCCGAAUUCCCACGGUCAUAAAAAAAAAGUUGGUGCAUGAAAUCAUGUCAAGACUGCAAUGUAGAAUCGAACUAUUGCUCAACAAUCUUCAGCUUUUUAUACGUUCACCGCCUAUUACCUUAGCAUAGCCAAAUUAUUAGUAUUUUUAUUCCAUAUUCUAAAGCAUAUAACAAUCAUACAAACCAAUAUCAUCAUCUUCUUCCAACUUACAUAAUGAAAAAUAGUGCAUGAGGCUUCCAACCUGAGUCAAGGAAACCAAUGGAACAACACUAGUAUGCCAUAGCUCAAAAUUUAGUGUCUUCCUUGUCCCCGUAAUAAAUCAAUUUAAAAUAGUAAAAAUUCACCAUUCAAAGAUCACAAGAAAUAUGAAUCAAGAGUCUUUACCAUGAAUCCAUAAAGUAUUCACUUUUACUUAAACAAUUCUACGCAAAUAUAAAAUACUAGAGUAGGAAAAUAGAUAUUAACCAGAAUGAUCCUGCAUUUCUUUUAACAGUUUCAUCUCUUCAUACUAGAGUCCCAAUUUCAACUUUUGUACAGUGGAACCCAUGUAUCUACGAUAUUCCUUUCUUACUUCAACCCCCCAAAACACUUUGAAAUGACCCAUCUUCGCAUCGACCAAUCAAUCAAAAUUACAUCAUCUUUUUUAUUCAAAAAUCACACCAUUUGUCAAAUAGGCAAAUUCACACUCUUGUUGAAUGAAAUCAAAAGGCAAAGAAAGGAAUUGCAUAGUUAUUAGGAGGGACAAAAAAAAUAGAGCCAAGACAAAUAUUCAAAAAAUCUAGAAGCAAAAGAGGAACUAUUAUAUAUCCACACAAAAUCAAACUCGUACAAAUCAAAGAAAGAGUCAGAUUAUAUUAAAUUAAGGAAAUGAAAAAUAGACAAACUUGUUGCAUAUGUAGGAAUGCUAAAUUCACCAAUGGCCAUUGAACUUUAUACUUAGUAUCAUAAUGACCAUCCAUUUUGAUUUUGUUACGACCACUCAACUUUUUUAUUUAGUAUCACCAUGGGCAUCUAAUUUUAUUUUAUUUCUCCAUGGUUCACUAUAAUCACCCAAUAUCAUAUAACAUUUCACCAUGGUCACCCAACUUCUUUUCAACAUAUUUAGUAAUUUUUAAAAUGGGUAAAAUUGUAAUUUUGCAUUAUAUAUGUAAGAUAAAUUUUAAAUAAACGUUUUUUAAAAUAAGUUUUUAUUUCAUUCUAAAAUAAAAUUUUUAAAUAAGUUUUUAUUUUAUUUAUUUUUAUUUUUUAUGGAACUUUUUUUAAAAUAACAUUUUAUUUUAAUUCAAUUUUCUAGAUAACAUUUUUUAAAAUAAGUUUUUAUUUUAUUUCCAAAACCAUUUUUGAGCUUUCUAAUAUGAGCUUUUAUUUUAUUUUAUUUUUUAAGGAACAUUGUUUUAUAGUAAUAUUUUUAUUUUAUUUGUCUAAGUAACAUUUUUUCAACUUUUUAUUUUAUUUUAUUUUAAAAACCUUUUUUAAAUAAGUUUUUGUUUUAUUUUAAAAAAAUUAUUUAAUUUUUUAAUUUUUUAGGGAAUAGUUUUUUAAAAAAAUAACUUUUUUUUUAUUUUUCACAAUAACUUUUUUUUAAAAUAUGCUUUAUUUUAUUUUAGAAACAUUUCUUUUAAAAUAAGUUUUUAUUUUAAAAAUGUUUAAAAGAUUAAAGAAGACAGGUGUUUUAGAUUAUCGGACCUUUGAUGUUUUCCCCAAUAAAAUGAAUCAAUGCUUGGACGUGCUCUUGGAUCUUCAAAAGGAUGAUAAUAAUAUGUUUUCUAAGAGUGGUACAAUGAACAGCCAUACCAAAAUUCGUGCUACAGGUUGAGUAUUUAUAUUUGAAGAUGUUUUAGUGGUAUUGGCCGAGUAAAACAAUUGAAAAUGCUAAUUUGGGGUUUUGCAGCAUAAGAAUGUCACUUGAGCGAGGAUCUAGCAAAAAUUGAGUAAGAGCCAUUCUGUUUUUUUCGCUCGAGCAAAAAGUAAGCAAUAGCUAAGCUGUCGUCAAUGUUUUCACCAUAAUUUUCUCUCCUAAUGUCCAAUUGAGGUGAUUCAACUUGUGUUGGAAAGCUAACUCAAAUGUCUAAUUCUUCUAGCUUAUCCAAAUGCCAAUGUUUUUUUAUGUGAAAAAUGCAUUGCAAGUUACCACUGAGAAUUUGGAACAUAAUUUAUGCGGCUAUUUGAUAACCUUUAGACUUCUAAUUGCAUUCCGAUAGUCAUAUGUGAUCUUUUUAGACAUCUUGGACUCCUUCAAUGAUUCGAACACUAAUUUACCUCAUCUAUUCAAAAUUGCAAUUAAGUCCUUGAAUUUUACAAGUGAUCAAUUAAGUCCCUUUUGUUUACAAAAUUGCCAAUUACAAUAUUGGACCUAACACACUCAAACCGGGGACCUCGCUGCUUGUUUGGUGCUCGAACGACGGAGGCAUCCUUCGCUAGGUGUGGGGUCAAAGCUCAACCAGUGGUGCGACAUAAAGGGGUUUGAUUCGCAGUUUAAAGCUGUUUUUUAAUCAUAUUCAACCUCUGACACUACCCAUUAUAAAUAUACACGCCAUAAUUCGUCUCAUGGUGUGAUUGAAUAUUAUUUUCAUUAUAGAGAUCAUCAUUUGAAGAUCAAUUACACAUACUCAAAGAUUUGUUUAAUCAACCCUAAGAUCAUUGAUUCAUAUAUUUAUCCAAAAUAUAUUUUUAUUGGUUGAGCCUUAAUUUUAUCAAGAGAAUAUUCGUUGAAGAUCAAAUUCAUAUCCUUACAUCUCUUACCUAAGCCACAGAUUGAAACAAAAAAGAUCUAAUGAUCAAACACCAAAAAAAAAAAAUCUUAUCUUCACCUGUAAGCCUUCAUAAUUCUGAAAUUUUGAGAAGAAAUGCUUAGAGUUCUUGCACUCCAAAAUGAGUUUUUUACUUGGUGAUCAAGUAGAGAGAAAUUAGUCCUAAGUUUUCAAAAGUGCAGGUUGCACAAUCAAAGAGGUUGUUUAGUGAUUUACAAGUUAAUGGUUAGAGUCAACUAAAGUUUAGUAGCAUUUGGACCAUUCGUAAGUUAACUUUUCUGGUGGAUCUGUUUGGCCAGGUUUUCCCUAAAGUUUUUGAUCCUUGUGAAGUCUUCAAGGGGUUUUCCUCUAGCAUCAAUUUGUAGCGUUAUUCACUUUUACUACUUUAAUCUAGAGAUUAUUGUUUGAUUAGGAUUUAAUUAGAUUAAUAACCUUAAAAAUAUAGAACCAAUAAAUAGUAAGUUGUUACUUUUCAUUGUUGAUUGCUUUAAUUCCUCAUAUUUGGUCUAAAUAUUUUCAACAAUGUAUAGAUGGCCUCUGUAUUAACGAAAACCUCAGUGAAAUUUCUGAUAAAAUCCUUCUAGAAGUCAAUGCACUAAAUCCAUGAGUCCACAUGACAGAAGAAUGAAUUAUUGGACAAAUGUCACAAAGCAUAAACAUCAACAAGCUUUGAAAAUUUGAUGUAAUUAUAUUUGAACAUCGUGAUGAGGGAAUGUUAACUUAUAAAAAUUGACUAAAAGCUCCUAAAAUGCCUAUUAUAAAGGUAUUGAACAAAGGAAAAAGUGUUGAAAAACCUAUAUCCAAACUUACAAUUUCAAAACGAAUCUGCCAUAGGUUGAAACAGUAUCUUGGGUCGGACCUAUCUAAAAUUAGGACACAAUCUUCAAUCGAGAAGCAUUUUCUGACAAAACAACGCUGAAAUCUCAAUCUUUCACUUUUUAAACAGAAAAAUUGGUUUCCAAGCUCCACGCAAAAUUUGGAAGGAAAAACUAUAGCUGGCUUUAAAUAAUAAUUUCUACCUUUCAGGUCUUGUUUCCAUUACAAAAAAUCCGAUAUUAUUUUUAUUUUAUUCACAUAUAAGGUUUUUUUGUCUUAAAAAAUAUUUUUAAAUAUAUUUUCACUAUAUUUGGGUUGCAAUGAGUUCUCAGGCACCACUCCAAGUGUUAGACAUUAGUAACAACCUUUUAUAUGGUGGAAUUCACAACGUCAGUGGGUAAUAUAACAAUGUUGAGGCAAGUUGCCCGUUUAGUAACCAGCAUGAUUGUCUAAUCGUAGUGGAAAUUAUCAACCUAGAUUAUAUUUGCCUCUUAGGUUUAUUAGAGAACAAUUUAUCUUGCUCAAUCUCGUCCUACUUCGAUACAUCAAGCAUAAUUUAUGUCUAUCUUAACAAUAACCAAUUGCAAGUGAGCUUACACAUGAACUGUUUAACAGUUCUUUUCUAGAGAUAAUGGAUCUUAGAAAGAAUAAAUUCAUAGGAAGUACCACUCAAUGGAUUGGCAAUCUAUCGAGCUUGAGAAUUAUUCUAGUUGUAGGUAUCAUUUUGAAGGCAUAAUUCUUAACCAGCUAUACCCAAUGAGGCCUCGCAUGAUAGACAUAUAUUAUAAUGGCCUUUGUAAUCAAAUCCCACACUAUUUGGGUAACAUAACACUAUGGGUAAACGAGAUGAAGUCUACGAAGUUUCAAGGAGAUACCUUUGCUUCAAUAGUCACGUUCAGGUCAUACAUGGAUAGGAUUGAGUUUGAAAGGAUCCACCGUGUAUCUCUUGAAAAGUAGAAGAAUUUGAAUUCACUGAUGGGCAGAUUACAACAACGUUACCACUAAGAAAACUUUGUAAUCUUACAAGGGUAAUUUCCUCGACCAAAUGUCAGAAAUUGUUCUCUCUUCCAAUAAAUUAUAUGGUGAUAUUUUAGAGGAACUUGGAUAGUUAAGGGAGAUCCGCUCACAAAACUUGUCCCACAAUAAUCUUAGUGGAAGAAUUCCAACGACAUUCUCAAAUCUACCUCAAGUCAAGAGUUUGAAUAUCCCUUAUAACGACUUAGGAGGGACAAUAUCCAUCAGAUUGAUCAAAGUUUAAAUCUUUGGAAGACUUUAGUGUGGCAUUAUUUUAAUUUAAUGAUUAAUAGAGAAGAAUUAGUGAUUUUAAUGGGUAUUGAAAAAUUAUAAUAUAUAAAAUAAAUGAUUAAUCGAUCAAAAAUGAUGUUUAGACCCAACCACUGCUAGAGGUCUAUAAUGUGGAAUAACCAAUAAAAACCAACCUGCCAUUAAUUAUUAUUUCUAGAUGAUUAAGAUUAAUGUCAAGUUAAAUCCUAUGGGUCAAUCAUGCAAUAUAGAUCAAAAGCAUAAAUUAAAGUAAACAAUACCAGAAUUGUUAAUGAAUGAAAACCCUUUGAAUAACUCUUCACAGAGAUCAAAAACCUACAGGCAAACCUUGCCAAAAAGAUUCACUAGAAAAGAUAACUUGUAGUUGGUCUGACACAACUAAAUCGUAGCAGACUUUGACCACCAACCUGUGAGUCACCAAAGAAUCUCUUCAACUGUGUAACCUUCAGUUUUCAGAACUUUGGACUUCUUUUUCCUCUGUGAGAUCACCAAGAACAAACACAUUCCUGAACAACUUGAACUACAACUAUCUCUUCCAUACUUCAGAAAUCUGAAUGUUUAUUGGUGAAAGGCAUGUUUGGUGUUUGAUCUUGAGGUUGAGUUAAGAUAAUUAUGAAAUAUAUUAUUGAUCUUCAUAGAAUGUUCUCUUGUAUGAAAUAAUUGUUCAACACACUUUUGGGAUUGGCUAAUGAUUUAGUGUAUAUAAUGCGAAGUGUUUGAGGAAUGUGAUUGUAAAAUUAUCAAAAUAGCGAAUAGGACUCUACCAAAAUGACACUCCCACUCGAGCGGUGGUUGAGCAGAAAGUGACCAGUCACAUGGCCACUUGAGGGGAGCGGCGAAGUACUGAAUAAGAUGCUCGAGUGACCAACGCGCGUAUGGUGAGCGAUUUUGUGGCUACUUUUUCUCCUCGGUUCAUCUUCGACUCUUUCAAGACAUAUACUAUGAAACCCCAAUUUUUUACUUUAAUUAUAACUCAAUUAACUAUAAUUUUUGAUAUGGUAAUAGCCAAUAAUAUGGGACCUAACAGUAUGGAUUAGAAUCUUGACGUAGAUCAAAUCUACAAACACACGAUGGUAGAAACUCGAACUGAUUGAACUCAAGAAAACCAAGGUUUUUCUUAUUUCGUGAAUAAUCAAAAAUCUAGGAGGCAUUUUAGAGCCUUAAAUAUGAAAAGAACAAAUAACCUAUUGGGCCAAUAAUCUCUUAAUGGGCUGGGCUAUAAAGGGAAAAUAACAAAUACUGAAAAUAAUAAACUAAGAAAUUUGAAAUGCUGUUUUGACCUAGUAAUUGAAUUCAAUUAGCCAAAAUCCAUCAUAUAUCACAGGAAAGCAGUGAGUUCAUCUUGAAUCAUCGCGAGCUUUCCGAAAUAGGGUUAUGGGCCCAAAACGGACACCGUAUGCGAAAGUUAUGUCAAUUUCUUCGAACGUCAACCAUCCAAGCGUUCCAUGUACUCAAGUACAUGUUCCUCCACACGAACCUCAUCAAAUCUUUAAUUGGUGGUAUGACUAGUAGUGUCUUUUCUAAUACAAGGGAUGCAUAUUAAAUAGUCAAGAUUUUUCAGAUAGUGUGCAACUAUCAAAAAAUGUGCAUAAUUAAAAGUCAAGACUUUUUGAUAGAGAGUGAUCUAGACUACUGGAUCAUGAUACAAAUUGAAAAAGAGUUAUUUAAUUAUCAAGAUUAAUACAUACCAAAAUGUGCAUCUUCAUAAAAUACAUAGUAAAUCUAUAAAUUUCAUUCAAUUUUAGUUGCUUCAAAUUUCAAGUAAUUGAUCUUUAAUUCCUUCUUUCUCCGAACUCUUUUAAAAUAAUUCUUAAUUAUUUUUCAGUUCUUUUUUGAUAGUUUGUACCAUAUAUCAUCUGAUCUAGAAGAGUAUAGUCAAACUUUGGUUCGACCGAUAAAAUUAAUAUUAUGAUAUAUUGAUUUUGAUAAAAAGAAUUGUAUCUUGUGUGAUAUACAUCCAUUUGAUCAUGUUAGCAUCAGUAUAUGGGCAAAAUAUUUUUCAAGGAGAUUUGUAAUCAUAUACCUUCAUUUUUUCUCCUUCGAAUUCUUGCAUAUUCUCAUGUGCAUAUCUUGGUUUCAAUAAGUCAAAACUAUAUCCAAUACUUUGCACAGCAAUACAUGCACGUAUUUAAAUAUGCACCAAUUUGUUCAACAAUCUUAAGACUAAUGCUUGUGCAUUCUAUAUUCUAAUUUUCUAUUUAGAAUCUGAAAUAUUUUUCAAAUGGAUUCUGGGUAUGACUCUAUUAUUUUCCUUAUGUUGAAGUCUAUUUCUGCAUGAAUCAAUGUUCAAAUUCUGUUUAGAUACGAUAUUUUAAUAUGGCAUCCCGUUUUCUAAAUUGAUCAAAAUUUGAAAUUCUGUGAUCAUAUUUCAUUUUUGUAUUCAUAUUAAAAUUCAUGUUGCAAUAACUAAAACUUUAUGAAGAAAUUAAAUUUGCAUUCUAAGUACAAAAGAAUUGUUCACAUAUUACAUGCAUAUUUGACAAUAAGUCAGGGAAAAUUCGUUGGUUCGAUUCUUGAUGGAUGCACUUGGAAGGUUAAUUUAAAUUGUAGCUUUUAGAAACAUUCUGCUUUUGCUCCAGAGCAAGUUAUGUGAGCAAUGUUUACCGUAUAAAUAGUCAAAUGUAUGUAGAUCCGAAACUUCAAGUUUAUGCAUGGAUUCUUUCAAGUCAUUCAGUUUGUGGAGACUUUGCUUUUUAAUGUAAUAUGCUUGGGCCUAAGGAUUUCGUUAUCAACUCUUUGCAUGUAUGUACUUUGUUAACUAUUGCAUGGUGGUUGUAGUGGAAGGAUAUUGCUUUCAGUACGUUAAGGUUAAUUGAUCAUUAAGUUGUUUUGUGGAAAGUACUGCACUGGUGUACAAACAUUGUACAGAUAAUAGGCUUUGCACUGCACAUAUGCCAAGAGUUUUGCUGUGUGUAUAGCAUUUUGUACACUAAUUUUGACAUCUCUUUCACAUGGGUAACAAUUGUUUUGUGGAAAGUACUGCACUUGUGUACAUUGUACAGGUAAGAGGCUUUGCACUGCACAUAUGCCUAGAGUUUUGUUACGUGCAUGGUACUUUUGUACACUAAUUUUGACAUUUCUCUCACAUGGAUUACAAAAGUGUCAUACACAGCAAAAUUCGUAUGGCAAUCAAUCGUGUCAUCCUCCUGCUCAUCAAAAAGCAGCAUUCACUAACAUUGACAUAGGGAAGGCUACUGGGCUCAAUGGCUCAAGCCGCCCUUAGCGUUGUCUGAAAAAGCCUGAGCCAGCCUCGUUUUAGGCCUGAGCCCCAUUUUGGAGUGUGUGGCUGAGCUCGAGCCAGCCCACGGGCUUGUGCUCAUGGGCGUUUGGGGAAAGAAAAAAAAAAAAAAAAAAAAGGUUGAGGCAAAUGUGUAUAGUUAGCCAAUGACUAAUGGCUUUCUUGCAAACUGAUAACAUUCUUUCGCACAGCAUUAGUGACGAAUGUAUAAAUGACAUAUGUUGCUCCAAAUUUAAAACUUGUUUAUAUCCUUCAACGGCAUCAUAUGAAAGAGGAAAUAAUGAAGCACAAGGCAUGGAUAGAAAGUUUUGCCAUAAGAGGAAACAAUAAACCUGUGAGGCAGAUUACUUAACUACAUGACACAUGUUGAUUGGACUAGAAUGCUUGAUGAUGAUUGUUCUAGUUUAGAAAAUUUGGACUCUAUAUUAGUUCAGUGGCUGAAUUUACUUUUGUGGUCAAUUUCUCCCGUACUAGACUUGCCUCGUUAACUCUUUAUCAUGGUAUAAUGCAAUUCUCUUCAUUUGGUUCAUUUGUAUUUGGGAAACGAGAGAGAAUAAAAAGUAACUAAGGCCCAAGACUUGUUCUCUGGCAAGAAUUCUUCGCUACCUCGAUGGUGAAAUUGAAGAAGAAUUGACUCGAUUUUGUAAGCUGUAAGAGUUUGUUUUUCGUAUUAUAGUUGUAGCAAUCAUUGAUACCAGGGGCGGAAACAUUUGAGUUAGAGGAUGCAAUCAAACCAUGUACAAAUCGAUUAUUUUGUUCUUGGAUAUUUAAUUAUUCAUUCUUGACUUGGAAAAGGCAGAUUUACCUUUAGAAACCAUUUAUUCAUUAAUAUUUUGGUCAUCACAAGAAAAUACAUGUAUACUGACAUUUAAAGAAUUCAUAGUGUAUUUGAUACAAAUAAUCAAUUAAAACAAUUAAUUCAAGUAAUUGAAAUUAAAAACAUAUAACCAGAAUGAAGGAAACACAAUUGGACAUAAUCAUUUCAGAUACUUUUUAUAUACACAAUUUGAUAGUAGAAAAUGCAAAUUCAAGUUCUAAUUUGUUGAAAAUUGGAAAGGGGGUGAAGAUUUGUAGUAGAUGUGAUAAUUGGUAGUGAAAUUAAUUACAAAUUUUUAAAAAUGAAAGUAUCAAGGUUUUGGUAAAAAGCGUGAGGGAGAGAGUUGCGAGAGAGUAAGAGAAAAGGGAGAAAAUUCAAAUUUAUUGUGAUUUUGCCCCUAUUUGGUGGGAAUUAAAAUCAGGUUUUUAAUAGAUUUGUAAAAAAAAUUUAAAAGUUGCAGGUCCCAUGAAAUAUGUUAUUAAAAUUAAUUAUUACCUUUGAUUUUGAUUAAAAUAUAGAUUUCAAUCUAUACAGAACUUUAUCAAAAAUAAAAAAUAAAUAAAAAAAAUCCAAAGGUUGGUGGUCACAUGACCCCAGGAUUCUGUGUUUGCUAGUGAUUGUUACUCUAGAUUACAAUUCUUUAGAACCAUAUUUCACAAAAUGGAUAUAAGUUUUGCAUCUCAUGUCGUUAUACAAGAAGGUUGUGAUAGAAAGUAGAAAUAAACGUUUACUACUCUUAAAAUGGACAAAUGAAAGUCUUCUCGUGGUGGGAGAAGUUGUAGAUGUAGACAAGUGUAGUUCUUGAUAAGUGGGGAGGAUAGUGGAAAUUUCUUCGAUGUUCAAAACUUUUCUAAAUGUGGUCCACGAGCCACUCAUUACUGAGAAAAAAUUGUUUGGAAUGUAAUUUUUUUUUCAACAGUCAAUCAACCAAUUUUUUUAUUGUAAAAGAUCUAGGAUUUAAAUAUCUUAUUAUUAGUGCAUUAACUAUGCAUUACUUGAGCAUUAUUGUUAACAGUUCUAACGAAGAAAAAGAAAAAAAACUAUUUGUGCACUUUAUGUUUAUAGUUAUAAAAUAUAUGUACAGUGAUAAACUGGAAAAAAAAUUGUUGUAAAUGCUCAUCCCAAAUUGGUAGUGGUAGCCACAAGGGUAGUUAGUUGCUCCUUGUCAUGGGAUUGGGUACUUAAAUGGCAAUUAUUCUUUCCAGUUAGUGUGUUUUCUAAUUGUGUUUUUCAGAUGAACAAAGAGUUUAUUUUCUCGAUUUCCCUUUUCCCUGAUUAUUGUGUUCAAGGAAGAUGCAAUAACAUUUUUUUUUUCUUUUUCAUUUUUUAUUUUUUGAAAUAUUGCAUUAAUGGCCAUGCAAGGCAAGGUAUACUUUUUAAUUUUCUUUUUGCUAGUCCUAGCCCCCCCCUAUAGAACAGGUCUUGUGAGGUGGAAGAACAGAGUAUAUAGCUAAUUGAACUAGUGAUGCUUUGGAUUUUGACGUGACCCAUCUUAGUGUUCAUUUUUAUGAUGCAAUCCAGCCAUUCUGAGAAGCUUCCUCGGAGAAUACCAUAUUGCCACCCAUGCUACAUCGUGAGAAACAGUCGAUGACUGAUGAACCUUCCCAAACGUGUUUGUUAUCUUCUCAAUUAAUUCCUCAACAUUGAGCUUACUGUUUUAGGCGCCGUAUUUUCAAUAUUUGGGAAAAUGAUGCUAACUAAAAUGAGUAGACUUUGGGAAAAUGAUGCAAACUAAAAUGAGAAACUAAGAAAUAUAUGGUAGAAUUCAUUUCGUCAAUAUUUAAUCUUAAUUUCUUCUGCAAAAUAAUAAAUAAUACUAAUAAAGAAAAAAAAGAAGAAGAAGAAAUCAACACAUCUUAUUUGCUAACUAGAAUUCAAAGGAAAACUCCCGAUGUUUGGACAAUAUUUUUAUCUCACUGGAAAAGUCAUAAAAUGAAUAGUAGUGUUUCUCGUCAAUCCAUUGUACAUCAAGUUUCCGCUUUAAAAAGGGAUACUCCCAAAGUGGAAAAUCAAUAUAAGAGAUUUUUGCAACUUCAGUGUGUUCAUAAUUGAGAAAGAUGAGAAUAAAUUUAUGGGUAAUGUUAGUGAUGACGGUGCUUUCAUUACUAAAUGGAUGGUAUUGUUUAGGGGGUUGAGAGGAAGAGAGGGUUGCUCUUGUACACCUCAAAGAAAAUAUGAACUUUCCAGAUGGAGAAUCGCUACCUUCAUGGGUCGUUAAUGAGAUCGGAACUGACUGUUGUCAAUGCUAAGGGGUUGAAUGUAGCAACCCAACUCGGCCAGUAAUCCAACUUAAUCUUCCUUAAUGCUAGGGAUUGGAAAUUAGGAGAUUGAUAUUUUAAUCCCUCUUUAUUUUUUCCCUUUCAAGAGUUCAGAAAAUCUCUGUUUGAGUAGGAACCGAUUGGAUGGUUGGAUUGAGAAUGAAGGUUGUCCCCCACCCUGGACGAGAAGCAGAGUUGCUAUACAAAAUGGAUCGCUGCAACUAAUUCAGCUAAAAUAAGAGAAUGCCAGAACCUUCCCUUCUCUUGCUUCCAAAAUUCUGUGGUUCAACUUGCCAUCUAGGUGGGCUUGACAUGGAUGCUAACAUUGUUGACCAUUAAGCUGCAGUUGAGCUUCAUUUUCUAACAAUUUUGGCUACUCAAAUUAAUAAGAUUUGAAAUCCUUGAUUUUCAGUGGUAAUUAUAUCAAUGACACCUGAUAAUUGAGUAAUCCAUUGAUAAUUGAGUUAUCUAUAGAAUUCAGUGGUAAUCUAUCAAUAUUGAGUAAGCUUUUUAUGUUUAAACACCUAAUUUUCAAGUUUUAAUGUAUUAAUGAAUAAUCUCCUUUCAAUAUUUUGAAAUAUCUGUAUCAGUAACUUUUUUGUAGUUCCCUAAUUUACUUCACUGUAUUUGGACAGAUUUGACCGAUUUCUGUAAUUUCAAGAAUUUGGAUAUAAGUAUAAAUUAAUACCAAAGCUUGGGUACCAUUUACGGUGGAUCUUCCAUCUCUGGCUGAGUCAGAAGAUCAUAGUUGAUCACAAGAGACACUUGUUGGACAUCAAUACCACAGGCCAACAAAUCAGUGGCGAUAAGAAAACGUGAAGAACAAAAUGUAUGGAUAUAUGUGGCAGAAAGUAUGAUCACGACCUCGUAUUUUGUCAGUGAGCCAGUCAACCUUACGCCUGGUGUUAACAAAGAUGACACACUGUGUGAUGGCCAAGGUCUCGUAAAGAUCACAGAGGGUUUCAAGCUUCCAUUCCUCCUUUUCGACAUUAACAUGGAAUUGCUUGAUACCCUCGAGGGUCAGCUCAUCACGUUUCACAAGAAUUUGCACAGGCUUGUUCAUAAACUUUCUUGUGAUCUCAAGAGCCUGUGGAGGCAUUGUAGCAGAGAAUACACCAACUUGAAUCUUAGGUGGCAGAAGCUGAAAAGUAUCAUAUAUCUGAAAAGAAUAGAACACUGAAUUAGAAACCUCAUAAUGCAUUUGACAGCGCAUAAUUGAAAUCAUGUAUCAAGUAAACUGCAGCUAAAAAUAUUAUUCAGAGAACAGCAAACACAUGAAAAAUCACAUAAACAAAACAGAAAACAACUUGAGGUAGAUUUUCUGUUUAAUGUCUAUAUUAAGCAAACAACAGAUACUCAUAUGAGCUUCAAACGUGUGUAGAAGUAAUGAAAACAAGCUGAAAUAAAUACACCAAAAUGCAAAUAUAUGGAGAAUAAAAAAAUUCAACUGCCACCUACAUUAAAAUGACACAAAAAUAAAAACAAAAGGAAACUCACCUGAUCCUUGAACCCUCUUGAAAACAUUUCAUCUGCUUCAUCCAGCACAAACAUUUUAAUGUAAUCAGGUAAAAGAGACUGCCUUCGCAACAUGUCAAACACACGACCAGGGGUACUAACCACAUCAUGAACCCCACUAGAAAGAAUACGCUGAUCUUCACGAACACUGGUUCUUCCCACGCAAGCAUGAACCUUCACACCAAGAUAAUCACCUAGUGCUCGCAUGACUUUCUCAAUUUGCUGUGCAAGAUCACGGGUUGGUGCAAGAACCAAAGCCUGGCAUUCAACAGUUCCAUAGUCUAGCUGCUGGAGAAUUCCAGAGCAAAAGGUAGCAGUUCUGCCAGUUCCAGAUUGUGACUGUUGAAUUACAUCAAAUCCUUUGCAGAACGGUACAAUCCCUCUUUGCUGAAUUGCAGAGGGCUUCUCGAAACCUUAAAUACAAUAGAGAAAACCUUAAGCUCCGUUAAUUUCCAAAUAGAAAGAAUAAAAGGAAAACAAAAUUAGCAAAGCAUAAGAUUGAAAAGAAGUAAAAUCCAACAGUUGCAAGUGUUUACAUUCAUAUAUCAUUAAAUUAAGUAGACAUAUGAAAAAAAUAGGCAAAUCAACUUCAUCGUUUGAAGCUAAAGAUGUAGAAGACAAACAAUUCAGAGACACUUAAUAAAGUAGGACAUGAAAUAGAAAAAUAACUCGAUAGACAUGUUCUCAAAUUAGAAAAUAUUUUCUCAUUCUAGUUCUUGGGAAGAAGAGAAUAAAUAUUGUGCAGAAAAAUAUGCAGCAUGACAUAAAACAAUUGUCCCAAUCUACCAUAAGCAUAGAUGCCCCUCAGAAGAUUUUCUUGUACGCCCAUAGCAUCAAAGCUUUCAUACACCUCAUCAUAACUUGUGAAAAAUUCCUCUCUGCCAUCUCUUCCGAGUCUGCAAUCAUUAAUUCAGAAAAUCAAACAAGUGUACUAUGAUCACCAUCACUAUUGAAAAAUGAAAUAAAUGAAUUCUAUGAUCAUAGGCAGGAAGAGUACACUAAUAAACAAAUCAUACCACGUUUCCAGCCAUGACUGUGGAAAGUGAACGAAAUAAUACCAUAGCAACAGGUAAUUCACUAGUCACUAAUAGUUUGAUAGGGAAUCAUCAAAAAAUCAAAUUGGAAAACCCUAGAAAGCAUGCCACAUAAGAUAAGGUGCCUAAAAGAAAGAAUGUAGAAUAGAAAACCAUCUAGUAACUGACCUAAGCAAACAAUGGAAAUUUUUAUAUCGAAUAGCCAUGGAUUGAAACUCAAAUGGCAUUAUUGAAACACUAUCCAAUUUCACAAAAGCAACCAUUGAUAACACAUUGUCAUGAAGACAAAAUGCAAAUAGGUCGAGAAAUAUGCAAAAACAACACAUUUUGCGAUUCCGGCUACUGUAGGACAAAAUGACAGCAAACCAUUCAAAAUGUAACAGUACCAUUGGCAGAACAGUAAGAGUUGGACAAAAAUGGCAUGUACCAUCUGAACUUCCUACUUCUACAUAGUUAUUGAGGUGUUACAUAAUUGGCCUUCACAGAAAUAAACUAUAUUAAAAAUCCAACCUGGAUAAUUACAAAUUCACUCAAACUGAUAUUUUGUUCACAUCAUAUAAUUACAUUCCUUCAAUAGUAUAUAACACACAAAAACAUCCGAGUUCAAAUCCACUUUCACACUUCUAUAAGAUAAUCAAUUAAUGAAAUAAACAAAAUUCGAUUCGCACAACCCCAAGAAUUUAGAAAAUGUAACCACUAUUGCUAUGAAAAUCUUAAACUACAAACGUUAAACAAGACUCGAAAACACAUUUCAAAUCAAUACGAAACAAAGAAAACCUUUCAAAACCAUAUUUGUUUAUUCAAUAAAACAAAUAUAUCCAUAUAAACAACCUCGUUAAACAAAAGAAUAACCAGAACUCUUUAAUCCCGAAUAUAUCAUCAAACAGUCAAGGCAUCUUCAUAAAUUUAUUUAUACAAUAACAAACACGAAAAUUAUGCAUGAAAUUGGAUAUAUGUUACCUGAUUGCAGCAAAAAGAGAAGGGAAGAGGGUUUUAUUUCAUUCGUGCCAUGAAGUGAAGAUAGGAAAAGAGAAGGGAAGAGAAACGGUCUCAGUCUGGGAUUGGGAAGUAGGAAGUUUUGAAGUCACUUUCACGUAUGUUUAGUUGCGUAACUGGAAAUUGGGAUUGAGUUAUGUGCUACAGGAUGGUAAUUAAGUAAACUGGGUAGGUAAGUAGAGAAAAAAAAUCCAAACUCCACAUGUCCCAUGUGGGUCCGCCACUGUUUCGCAAAGCAUUGGUAACAAAGGUCUAAAUGACAUGUUUUGCUCCAAAUUAAAACAUUGUUCCUAUCUUUCAAUGACAUCAUAUGAAAGAGGAAACAGUGAAUCACAAGGCAUGGAUUGAAAGUUUUCUCGUAUGGGAAAACAAUGAACUAUGAGGUGGAUUAUUUAACCACAUGGCUCAUGUUAACUGGACUAGAAAGUUUGUGAGGAUUUUGCUAGUGUAGGAGAAUUGUGAACCAUAGAUUAAAUUCUAUUCUUUGGUUAGAUUUAGUUUUGUGACCAAUUUAUCUAUAUUAGACUUUUCUCUUUAUUAUUAUAUAAUUUCGAAUUUCGAAUUCAUAUGUCUUGAUCUUUUAAUUAUAACUGUUUUCACUUGGAUUCAUUUAGACUUAGCAAACAAGAGAGAAGAAAGAGUAACUAAAGGGUGAGACUUGUUCUCCGUCAAGAGUUCUUGACCACCUCUGACAAUUUUUUUGGUUAUCUAUUGCUAUUCCCUUGUAUGAAGAUGAUGCUUUGAUCCGCUGUGAAUAAAAUAUGAGCUUAAUAUUGUUAGAUUUUAUAGUUUUUGGAAGUCGAUGAACAAAAACAUACUUGUAAAAAUUUUUAAAAAGUCAAAGAGUCAAAUGGUAGGUUACAUUAAUGAGUUAGAAGUCGUUGGGGUUGUCUAUGUAACAAAGGAAAAGUUGUAAAAUUUUCGCUAGCCAACUGCCAAGUUGUUGCUCAAGCAUCCAAAACAUUAAGCUCUUCGCUAGCUUGUCACCUACUGUUGCUCGCCUAUAGCUGAGCUCUCGCUCGAGUGACAGUGUAUCUUGAGAAUCCCUAUUUGCAUUUUUCAAGAUUUUUAACAUGCCCAUACUACUCAUAACCUCCAAAACUAUAAGUACAUGUGCCUCACUUCAAAAAGUAACGAGUUGAACAUUAAGAGAAACUUGAAAUCACUUUCUUCACUUCACAUAAACUGUUCAAUCCUUGCUGGAGCCAUAUUAUUGAAAAACAUAAAUCCCCACAAACAAAACACCAAAACACUUACUUCCAUUGAAUCUGAUAGAGUUUUGAAGAUCAAGAAAGUGGACUGAAGUUUUGGUUGUUGGAAAACAAGGAGUUCUUGGAUGAUUCACUGGAGAUAGACGAAUUCAGAAAGUUGAGAGUUGAUCAGGAGCAUGCAAUCCAGGAAGGAUUUGGUGACUACAGUCAGGAAGUCAGAAGGAACUAGAUUUAGUCGAGUCUUGCAGUAUUGUAAGUUGAUUUGCUUAUAGUGGAUUCAACUAGCUUGGGCUCGGAGUUUUAAUCUCGUGAGGGGUUUUCUCCGUCAACAAUUCUCCUAUAUUAUUUACUUUUCUUCAACUUAUUAAACUGCAUAAUUUAACAUAGAAUAGUAUGCAUGUGAAUUCAUCUUAAUUGAUAAAUAAUUGCGACGUGUUGCAUUUGUUAGUUAGUAUAUAAAUUUUGCAUAAACACCUAUUCUCCCCUAGUGUUUAGUAUCAAAGCCUAAGUUCGAUUUCUGACCCCAAUUUAAUCUAGACGAGUCAAUCUUUUUCUGUACCUCCAUUUUUCAAUAGUAAUAACUAUGCAUACUAGAAGGUUAGAAUUAUAGCCCUUUUAAAGUCUCUAAAUGAGAACAUUUGCGUUAGUGUACAAAAUGGUGGACCGCCCCUUCUACUAUUGUGUUAAGUGCAGUUAACCUAUGGACAUUUCACUUUGGACUAGUUCAACUGGAAUAGAAAAGGAAGAGUUUAAGAGAGUGUUGAUGUGUGAAACAGUGAAAGAGGUUUGGGAUAUUUUAGAGACCACAAAUGAAGGAACCAUAACUGUGAAAAAAAACUCCAAAUUGUAAAUGUAGACAUAUAUGUUUGAAGAGAUUAGAAUGAAGGAUAAUGAAUCAUUUGAUGAAUUCUAUGCAAAGUUAAAUGAUAUAGUGAAUUCUAGCUUCAACCUAGGUGAGAAAAUUCCUAAGUCUAAAAUUAUGCCAAAGGUCCUUAGAUCUUUACCUAAAAGAUUUAGACCCAAGAUUGCUGCAAUUGAAGAAAGCAAGGAAUUAGACAAAGUAAAGAUAAAGGAACUUGCAGGAUCCCUUCAAAUCUAUGAACUCACCAUAUCUCAGUCGAAGAAAAAUAAGUCUAUAGGCUUGAUCAUCAUUAAGAAAAAAGAGUAUGAAUCAACUGAUAGAAAAAACCCUUAGGGACGAUGAGAUAGCUUACUUUGUCAAGAAAUUUCAAAAUGUCCGUAGGAAUAGGAGAAAACCUCAAGUGAGGAAGAAGAGUGUUACUAGUAAUUUUUAGAAAGAUAAGGGUGACAAGACUAAUGCGAGGAGCUCUAGUAAGAAAUCUCAAUCGAUUAGAUGUCACAAAUGUCAAGGUUUUGGUUAGUAUAGAAAUGAAUGUCCCAACUAUAGGAAGAACCUAAAUAAAGGAAAGGGUAACACAUUGGCAGUGUCACUAACUGAUGAUGAAACGAAUUCUAGUUAUCAGAGUAAUUCCUUUAGCAUUGAGGAUGAAAGGAACUAUAUGGCAUUUGCAUCUAUAAUUAAGAGUGAAUCAGAUUAGGAGAGUGAGAAGGUUGAGGAAGAGGAGCAUAGUGAGGACACUGAGGAAGACUCUAGGGAUGAGAUAGACAUUCAUGAGGCUCAUCAAUAGCUGUUUAAGGAGAGUCUUAAGAUUAAGAAGGUCAAUAAAGCUGUGUUAAAGAAGGUUAUUGAACUUGAGAGGGAGAAAGAGAUGUCAUAGCUGAUAUAAUGAGUUGAGACUUGACAAUGGAAAGUUAGAAACUAAGGUUAAGACAUUAACAAGUGAUAUAGGAAAAUCAACUACACAAUUUCAUUUCUUUUUAAAUGGCACUUAGAAACUUGAUAAUCUAUUAGGGAUGAAUAAGCCAUUUGGAAAUAGGCAAGGUCUAGGAUUUAUUCAAACUGAUAAUAAUUUUGCUAGUACAUCCUAGACCAACUUUGUCCCAGCUACAAACAAACCUAAUAAUGUUGUCAAUCCUGAACCCCAGGACAGGAAAGUCUUAGGACAGAGGCAUGCUAGGUCACAUAGGAGCAACCUACCUAGAAAGCAACAUCAGAAAUCACGUAGUUUUGAGCCUAAGUUUAUUCCUACAUCUCACAAUUGUGGCACUAUGGGACAUACAAGGCCUAGGUGUCAUAAAUUUGUGAAUAUGAUGAGAAGUCAAUAUAUCUAUAGCCAAGUUAACUUCUUUAAAAAUCAUGUGAGUUAGCUAACUGAGAUGAUGAUACAAUUGACUACGAUUACCUCUACUCUAAGAAGUUUUGUGCUAAGAAAAGCGAUCUCCCUAGAUUUGAUGAAAAACUGAAUUGUUAUGUUGCCCAUGUUGCAAUUAAUAAAGCUCAAAAUAACUCCAUGUGGUAUCUUGAUAGUACAUAUUCUAGGUAUAUGUUUGGAAAUAAAGCCCUGUUCUCUACUCUUGAUUAUUAAAAUGACGAUAUAGUUACCUUUGGAGAUGGGGCUAUUGUACCUAUCCUUGGUAAAGAUGCCGUCAAUAUAUCUAGACUAUAUCCCGUAUCAAAUGUGCUUUACGUGAAGGGUUUGAAGUCUAACUUGUUAAAAAUUAGUCAAAUAUGUGAUGUAGAUUAUGAGGUUAGUUUUGUCCGGAAAAGUGAUUUAUGACCCUAAUGGUAACGUUGUCCUCGAAGGGGGCAAGGGCUUUUGACAAUUGUUAAGGAGUCCUUUCGAAUUCCAUCUAUGAGUGUAGUGCUAAGAUUGAUGUGACUAAACUUUGGCAUCACAGACUUGGUCAUAUGAACUAUAAGAGUUUGUCAAAGUUAGCUAAGAAGGAACUUGUUGAUGGUUUACCUAUUCUUGAACAAAUUGAAAAUGUUAUAUAUAGACUAUAUCAACAUGGUAAACAACUUAGACUAAAUCAUAAACAAACUUCUAACAUCUUGACAAAUAGGCCUUUAGAAUUACUCGAUAUGGACUUAAGGGAACCAUCUAGGACUGAGAGCCUCAACAGUAAGCAUUAUAUUUUGUUGUGGUAGAUGAUUUCUCUAGGUACACAUGGAUUCAGUUAUUGAGAGAAAAAUUUGAGAUAUGUAGCCUCGUUAAAUCAUUGUACAAAAGAAUUAGAAAUGAGAAAAAUCUCACAAUAACUAGAAUUCGAAGUGAUCAUAGAAAAGAGUUUGAAAACUCUAACCUUGAGAACUUCUACUUAGAGGAGAGAAUCCAACAUGAGUUCUCUUCAUCCAUCAGUCAACAACAAAAUGGAGUAGUUGAGAAGAAAAAUCGUGUCUUUCAAGAAUGGCUAGGGCCAUGCUUUAUGGCAAGGGACUAACACCUGGGGUGAAGCCAUUAACAUUGUGUGUUACAUAGUGAAAAAGGGUUUACCUUUUACCUAAAGCUGGAAAGACACCAUAUGAGAUCGAAAAGAAUAAAAAGCCUACUGUCAAAUAGUUUCGUAUGUUUUUAGCAAGUGCUACAUUCUGAGAGAUAGAGAGAAAUUGGAAAAGUUUGACUCUAAGAGUGAUGAAGAAAUCUUUAUAGGUUACGCUAGGAAUAGUCGAGCUUGUCGUGUAUACAAUUCUAAUACCCGAGUUGUGAUGGAGUCCAUAAAUGUCGUAAUAAAUGAUGCUUUUAGUGAGAAGGAGAUUGGGAUGAAUUAGAUCUCUCGAGAGUAGAUCCGUCACAAUAGUUGAACUUAAAGAAAAAUCAAUUCUCGAACCUCCAUACUUACCUAAAGGUUUAGACACUUGUAAGGCACAAUCUCCUUGUGAUAAAUCAAAAACUCAUAGGGAACCUUCAUUCAAAGUUAAGCUAAUCAUCCUAAGUUCAACAUUUUUGGAGGUUUAGAUGAAAGGAAGAGACUUUGCGAGAAACAACCUAGCAUUUAUGAGCUAUGUAUCCCAGAUUAAGCCUAAGAAAGUAAAAGAAACCCUUAGUGAUGAAUAUUGGGUAAAUGCAAUGCAUGAGGAACUGAAUUAAUUUGUGAGAAACAAUAUGUGGUAUUUGAAUAUUUAAGAAUAAGAUCAAUGAUCUAGGUACCAUAACUAGGAAUAAAGUUAGGUUAGUUGCCCAGGGUUAUACUCAAGUUGCAGGUAUUGACUUUGAUGAGACAUCCGCCCCUAUUGCAUGUCUUGAGUCCAUUAGAAUUCUUUUUGCUAUUGCUUGUAACUUAGGGUUGAAACUAUAUCAAAUGGAUAUCAAGAGUGUCUUCUUGAAUAGAAUACUUUAAUUGAGUACUUCAGGAAGAAGUUUAUGUUUAACAACCAAAAGGGUUCAUCAACCCUAAGUUUCCACAUUAUGUCGACAAACCAAAUAAAGUAUUAUAUGGUCUUAAACAAGCUCAUAGGGCUUGGUAUGAUAAACUCAUUGCAUAACUGGUCGAACAUGAUUUUUCUGGAAGAGGUGCAAACAGAAUUUUAUUGAUAAGACAUUGAAGAAAUCAUCAUUAAGCAAAAAUUUAUGUCAAUGAUACCAUCUUUCGUUUUCCCAUUGACUCUCUUGCUGAUGAAUUCACAGAAUGCAUGAAAUGAAAAUUUCAGAUGAGCAUGAUUGGAGAAUUAAGUUACUUUCUUAGUUUCCAUUAAAGCAAACUAAUGAUAGGUUGUUUGUCUCUCAAUCAAUGUGCGCUAAAGACCUUAUGAAGAGAUUUGGACUAGAUAGUUAGAAACACAAUAGAACAAUCAUGAGCACAAGUGUCAAGUUGGUCAUGAUCCUACAUAAAAGAGUAUUGAUCAAAUACUAUACAAAAGUGUGAUAGGUAGUUUACUUUACCUUACUGUGUAGACCUAACGUAGCAUUGAGUGUUGGGGGUAUGUAUUGGGUUUAGGCCGAUCCUAAAGAAUUCCACUUGAGUGCAGUCAGGCGCAUCAUCAAAUAUAUAAAUGGAACCUCGGAUCAUCAAAAUCUUGUACUCUAGACAUUCUAAUCUUACCAGCUAUUUCGAUAUUGAUUGGGAUUGAAAUGUCAAUGAUAAAAAGAGCACUUUGAGAGCCGUUUCUAUGUUGGUCCUAAUCUUGUAGCUUGGAAGAGUAAAAAAAUAAAAUUCUAUCUCAUUAUCCAUAGUCGAGUUCGAAUACAUAGCUACAGAAAGUUGCUGCACUGAACUGCUUUAGAUGAACCAAAUGUUGAGUUAUUAUGGGAUUAAAUAGGGUACUAUGACUAUGUUUUAUGAUAACACAGUGUUUUUAAUAUUUUCAAAAAUCUUGUACGACAUUCUCGGACCAAACAUAUUGAUAUUAGAUAUCACUUCAUUCCAGAGCUUGCAGAGACCUGUGUUGUAUCUCGUGAGCAUAUCUCUAAUGAAAACCAAUUAGCUGACCUAUUUACUAAGCCCUUUGAUGGUUUUAGGUUCAAAUCUCUUUGGAAAGCUAUUGGAGUCUAUGUACCUCUUUGAUUAGGUACUUAGGUGUAUGCAUAUGCAGUUUAUAUGUCAUUCAUUCAUUCUUGCAUAUAUUUCAUUCUACGUGUUUUAUUUUGUCAUUGUUGUAUUUCCAUCACACACAAAAAUUUAACACUGUAGUGUCGUAUUCGAUUUACUCGAGUUUGCAUCUUGUGAUUGGGUAUGCAUACAACAGACGAAUAGUUAAAUAAUUUUCAUCAACUUAUUUAGGUUUAUGUGGAAUACUUGGUAUAGCUCUCUUCAUGUACCAUCUGCAUAGUACAUAUUAUGACCUUUUAAGUGAGUCUUGACUGCAUAUGUGAGAUUUAGGAUGAUAGUCAAUUGUUGGUGAGGCGACCUCGAACAUGAAUUGAUCUGUAACUAGAUUGACCUAAAACUCCAAUAUUUUUCCCUUGUUAGAAAAGCUGACUGGGUGUUAAAAAUUUGAAAUAUAUUACAAAAUGAGCUUUAUCUUAUACUCUUCUUCGGAGCUUAUUUGAUUCAAGCAAUUACACUUGAAAUGGUUAUAAUAACUUGGUGCCUCAGCCCAAAGCUUCUUACAUGAGUCAUCUUAGUCGCUUUAUGGAGAUCGGAUUACACAUAAGCUUCAAAAAAUAUAUAUACUUAUUGAUAGGGGGAGAGUGAUAUUUAUACACUGAAAAAUCGAUUUGACAUUUUUUAAGGUCCUAGUAGUGCUGGAGUUGACUUUCAUUAGUAGAGGAGAAUUCUCAUUCAAUAGUGAUUUUAGCAUGUCCUUUCUCACAAAUUUAAGGUUUGGACUCUUACUUAUGGUGAAUAAAUGGGACUUUUCAACCAUGGGCCAUGUAUACAAUUUACUCCAUUUAAUCUGAUAUGAGUAUGGAAGAUUUUCUAUUCCUUGGGUAUGCCCUACUUGCGACCAUUUGCAUUUUUAAGUUAUCGUACAUGUUGGAAUGCGCGCCAUGAAUUACAAAAAAUAAGUACACAAAAUGAGCACUAUAUUUCAAAAUUUUCAAAAUUUUGGUGCUAUUUUUAUCAAAGGGUUUUUCCAUGCUUGGCGCUAAGGCUCACUCGAGCGUCAAAAGUAGAGGCUCUGUUGCUAGCCUAGCGCUUGCCUCUAGCUCGAGCGAGAACCUUUUUAUUUGAUUGCCAUCGUGAAGAGCAAAAGUCAUUUUUUUACAUCCCGUCCAUUUUCUCUUAAUCUCCACCUUGUCUAAGGUCGUGCUAGGAUAUAACUCUUCAAUUUACAUGUUUGACAUCAUUCUUAGGAGCUCAUAACAUUGCCUAAUCCCAUUUUUCAUUGAAUUAAAGGUAAGAAAUUCAUUAAACCCUAGAUUUCUCCUUUUACCCAUUUUUUGGAUUUUUCUAUUGUUUUAUGUUUUUGGCAUCAGUUAAUUCAUCAUAUGGGUAUCAUUAUUGGAUUGUGUUGUGUUCUUCUUUCACAUUGCAUCACAAACAACCAAGUUUUUGAAUUUGAAGCAUUCACUAGCGUAUUAGGUUUCUAUAAGUCAUGUUUGAAUUUUAUUAUUUUUGAACUCAUUUUUUAUGGCAAAUGGAUAGAUGUAGUGUACAUAUUGUUGGGUUGUGGAUUGAUGUGUUGAGGUGUUGGGUGAACUGCAUUUCGGUUGGAAUGCCAUGCUCUUCGCAAGCACACCACAUGUUCGACGUAUUGUCUACUCUACCGAGUUGUUCACUUUUUGGCACAUGAUUAAUCACACACUUCAAGCACAAUCACAUUCAUAUCUAGGCAAUCACAUUGUACUUUUGCCUUGGUUCUCAUUGCAUUUGAUGUUGACAUACUAUCACCCAAGUUUGACGUCUCAUCACCCUAUGUCUUGAAGUCAUAUUAUCCUACGUCUAGGCAUCAUUUUAUUUUACUCUAGGCACCACAUUCGAGCACUACAUCCUAUGUCUAGGCAUCGCAUCACCCUUGCGUUCGAGCACCAUGUCAACUUCGUCCGUACAUUGUGCACCCUUUAUCCAUGUCUCACAUCGCUUAAGUAGUUAUUCAUGUCCAUAAGUGCUCUAGCCUAGCUUUUGCAUUAUUUUGUAUGCAUUGUUUAGUUUUUGAAUCGUUUUGCAUGCAUUGGUUAGUUUCUGCAUUGUUUUGUGUGCAUGAUCAGUUUCACGUUGUUUUGUGUACUUUGAAUAGUUUUUGCAUUGUUUCGCAAAAGUUGGACCGUUUUUCAUCGUUGUGCAUGCUUAUGAUAAUUUAUGUGAUACUUGUAGAUUAUAUGUGCACCAUGCAGCGUAUAUAUGACCUACUUGCCUUGUUUUAUGUGCAUCCAUGCAUAUCAUUAGUUAGUUGAUCAAAGAGGUAUAUAGUGCCAUUAUUUACAUCUAUUGAUAUGUUAAUGUUGCAAACUUAUCACAAAUGCCGCAUAAGAGAAUGAUGACUUCUACAUCGAUAUCCAGUGGGUCGACUUCCUAUAGUAGGUCUAUGUUCAUAUCUCCUACCAUCCAGGAUAUAUUCAGGACACAAUUCUCAUUGCGUUCUAUUCUAGUAGAGCGUAAGCUGAUCCUCUCUAAUCUUUCUCUUGACUUAGCUGUCAUAUUCACUUCACGUGGUUGGAGCCCAUGCUAGUAGAGUUGUUUCCUCUACCUAGUCCAGGAUUUCUAUACGAACAUCCAUGACAUUAGCGGGUCGACUUUUAGGGUCUUUCUUCGGGGUAAGAUGAUUAAGAUCACUUCAGAUGCCAUAUUUAGCACUAUCCACAUUCCCUGGGUUGUUCCUCCAUUAUUUCCCUAUUUGUCUAUUGACACUCUUCCGACUUAUUCUAUUGUCCAGUCUACUUUGUUUAACAACCCAUUGGGAGAGGGUGAAAUAGAAAUCCAUGCUGGAUCCCUACCUACAACAGAUUUUACUGUGCAUAGUGUGCACAAAUCUAAGGCCUGUCUCCCACACCUCAACCUUGCCCGUGAACAAGGCAAGAUUUAUAUAUUCCUUGCUGCAUGGUGAUUCUAUAGACCUUCCCUAUUUCAUUUGCUAUCAAAUUCUAUGUACUUUUAGUGUUAUGGAUAAUAGGAUUGAUCUUCCCUAGGCCUGUCUCAUUCAUCGCCUCGUAACGUCUAUUGGGGCUACUUUUUUGAAUGGGAUCAGGAGGAGAUUUCCCGACCUAUUGGCCACACUAUCAUAUCGUCGAGUAGAUCUCAUGAUCCUUCAUCCUCAGCUCCUUCUGAGCCAGCUAAUCAAACUGUGUUGGUUGAUCCUAUAGGUAGUUUACUGUCUUUUGAUCUAUUCAAUAUUCCUAUGUCUCAUCCUGAUAGUCCUCAUUCCUCUACUAAUAUUCCAUUAUCCUUUAAUUAGCUCCACCGCCUCUUGUUGAUUCUACCCUAUAUCUGCUUCUAUUAUUGUUGACCCCUCUGUAGUUCUUAUAGGAUAGAUGGCUGUGUUAAUUGAGCAGUGGGCUUGCAUGAUGCCUAAGUUCAUAGAGUUGCAAGCCACUACUGAGCAACACACCAUGGAGUUUGCUACCCUUCGUAGCACCAUCACGUAUAUACAACAUAGGAUUCAAUGGUUUUGUGAGCAUAGGGAUGACGAGGACGAUGGUGAUAAUUCUGAUGAGGCCACUGAUGGAGAUGAUAUUGCGGGUGAUUAGAUGUUAGGAAUCCCUUUGUCAUUUCUGACAAAAAGAGGAGUGGGAUUAGUUUAUUCUUUUAAAAUAUAAGUGUAAUUUUGAGAUGUAUAUGCUACUUGUGGUAUUGUUCUUUAUCUAGCUAGAUUACGUUAUGACGUUUAGCAAUAUCAAUGUGUGUUUUUGGUGUAUAGGCUGACAUUGAUAUUGCAUCUUAAUUUAUCUGGCAUGAUUUUGAUUAUAUUGAUAAUUGGCCUAACUAUUAUUAUUUAUGUUAUUUUUUAACCUGCUUUUACACUUGGUAUGUGAGUUGUGAUUUAAAAAUCAAGUUUGAUAAAGAAAAAGCAAGAGUCAGUUGAGUCAAUUGGUUUUGGGUAGAUCAGAUUAGUUGUCUUUGAUUUGUAAUGUAUGUUUUGUCAAAGAAUGUCAAAGGGGAGUGUGUUAGGUUUUAUAAUUGUUGGCAGUCUAUGGACAAAACAUAGUUGUAAAAAUGUUUAAAAAGUUGAAGAGUCAAGUGGUAGGUUAUAUUAACGAGUUAGAAAGCAUUGGGGUCGUCUACGGAACAAAGAAAAAGUUAUCGAAUUUUUGCUAGCCUGUUGUCAAGCUAUUGCUCAAGCAUCAAAAACAGUAAGCUUUUCUCUAGUCUAUUGCCUACUGUUGCUGAGCUCUCACUCGAGCAAUUGUGCAUCCCUAGAAACCCAUAUUAUACAUUUUUAAGUGACAUAUACUACCUAAGACAUCCAAACUAUAAAUAUCUGUGCCUAAAAAGUUAUCGAAUUUUUGCUAGCCUGUUGUCAAGCUAUUGCUCAAGCAUAAAAAACAGUAAGCUCUUCUCUAGUCUAUUGCCUACUGUUGCUGAGCUCUCACUCGAGCAAUUGUGCAUCCCUAGAAACCCAUAUUAUACAUUUUUAAGUGACAUAUACUACCUAAGACACCCAAACUAUAAAUAUCUGUGCCUCACUUCGAAAAUUGGUGGGUUGAACAUUAAAAGAAACUUGAAAUCACUUCUGUACUUACAUAAACUGUCAGUCCUCACUUGCUUGAGCUAUAUUAUUGAAAACAUCAAAUCUAUACAAACCGAACACCAAAACAUUUAUUUCCACAGAAUCUAUCAGAAUUUGAAUAUCAAGAAAGGUGAUUGGAGUUUCAAUUGUUGAAGAACGAGGAGUUCUUGAAAGAUCCACAAGAAAGACGAAUUUAGAAAGUCAAAGUUGGUGCAAGAGCAUGCAAUCCAGGAAGGCUUUGUUGAUUACGUUCAGGAGAUCAGAGAUUACUAGAGUUAGUCGAGUUUGGCAGUACUAGAAGUUGAUUUGUUUGUAGUGGAUUCAUACGGGCAUGGAUCCGGAGUUUUUAUUUCCACGAGGGGUUUUUUCGUCAACAAUUUUUCGAUGUUAUUUACUGUUCUUCAAUUUAUUAAACUUUGGUAAUUCAACAUAGGUUAGUGUACAUGUGAAUUCAUCUAGAUUGAUUAGUAAUUUUGAUGUGUUGCUUUUAUUAAUUGAUAAAUUUAAAUUCCAUAUAAACAAAUAUUCACUCCCUAGGUGUUAGUUGGAUCGAACUUCAUUGUUUUCAAAUAUAAUAGAACAUAUUGGUGGUAAAGUUAAAGAAGACUUGAGUCAAUUAUGUAUACUUUUGUUUCUCAUAUUGUAGUAACAGUCAUUGUUUCACUACAACUCUAUAGACCCAUAUUUUACGAAAUAGAAAUAAUUCUUAAGUUUAGCAUCUUACGUCAUCAUACCAGAAGGUUGGGAUCAAAAUUAGAAACAAAUUUUUACUACUCAUAAAAUGACAAAUGAAAGUCUUCUCAUGGUGGAAACGUUGUAGUUGUAGACAAAUGUAGUCUUUGAUAGGUGGGGAGGAUUGUGAAAAUUUGUUCCAUUUGCACAACUUUGCGAAAUGUGGUUACGAGCUACUAAGAAUUGCGUCUUUUACUUUUUAACAGUCAAUCAACCUGUUGAGUUUUGAUACCUAAUAAAUUUUGGGCAAUGAUGUUAAACCCAUGUUGGAUAAAUUAAAUAUCAGCAUCUAAGAUUGAUGACCCAAUCCUGAAACUAUUAGGGGGGCUUUUGGAAGCAGUCUAAUUAAUUAGCGUAUUUCAUGGCCUAGUUCCUCACUUAUUGAAUGGCUUGCUAUACUUGGCCUACUUAUCGUAUCUAUAUUGGGUUUUAGCCCAUCCUAAACCCUGACAUAUCCUAUAUAUGCUCUUCCCUUAUAGCUUUGUCAUUAAUGUGUCUUUUGCCCUUUUGUUGAGAGGAAAAUCAAGGUUGUUCUUAUUACAUUCUUUGUACCUUUGCCUUCUCUUUACCUCUAUGGCAUCGCCAUUGUGGCUACAAAACACUAUCUUUUUUGUGUCCUAAGUGGGUACAAUUAAAAGUAACCAAGAAUAGACUAAUUGAAGGGAUUGGGUCAUUAUUGUUUGGGUGUUUUGAUAAGGUUGAGAUUGGUAUACUGAACUCAAAUUCCACCAAUUGAAGAUCAAUUCUGCCAUAUUUGGUAUCAGAGCAGGUUCGCUACAAACGUUGCAUAGUUGGUGUACCUAAGACUAACAGCAUAUGUUCUUGCAGAAAAGAUUUUGUGACCGCCAACAUGUACCAUACCAAUUGGCAAGCAAGUAGAAUCGAUGAUAGAUAGCUUUGAGGAUGCUAGAUGUUGGGGCAUGCGUUAUACAGCUUGGCCUAUUGCAUGAACGUUUAUUUUGCAAGGGUGUGAUCAAGGCAUUGCUGUGGAACUUGAAUAAUGGGUACAUUUGUGGGUAUACUUUGACAUGCGUGAUGACGCAGCAGCCAGAAGAGCCGCCUUCUCAAGAACUAAUGUAGAGGUGCAUAAGGUAAAGGUGGUAUCGAAGGCGGCAUGUACGAGGUACUGCUGGAAGUGGUGUUGGGGAUAUUGUAGACGUCUGUACAUCGGGGGGGCAUGAUGCUACAAUUGUGGAAGAAUUUUUGGACCUACUUAUUUAGAGGGAGUAUGUAAUGUAUGGAGGGGCAAAAUACUCGUCCAUUACGAGGGCGUUAGCGGAUUGAGUGGAGGAGUGAGUUAUAGACCUAGAGAACUUCCCUACCUAUACUGUGGGCAAGAUUGCUUAUUGCAAGUUUGUUGCUAUAAUUUCAAAAAUGCACUAACGAUGUCCUUUAUGCAGGUAUAAUGACAAGCUAUCUACCUCUUUAUAUUGUGCUACUGUUGUAUAUCUUAGCUUGCUAGCCGCAUGACUGCCUUAGGUUGUCUCAAAACCUCAAAGGCUGAAUGGACAGUCCUUUAUAUGUUGUAUCAGAGCCAUGUUGGUGGUGGAAUUCAAACCAAAAUUUGACAAGAACUAAAGCAAAAACUAGCUAGAUCGAAAUUCCCUAAAAAUUCUCUAAAAACUGGACAUACAAUCUUAAUUUUCCCCCAAUCCAGGUUCUCUUUGGUGAAAUAAACUUCGAAUUCUUAAUCUGUAAGUGGAGCCGAUAUUGGGUGACAGUCAAUAGUAGAGAUGGUGCAUGGAGAUUCCGACAACGGCAUGUGAAAGUGCGUUCGACAUUAUUCUUGGAAAAUUUCUUCUGGCAUAAUAUUUCUAACGAUUUUAUGUUAGUUUUUCUAUUUCAGGUUAUACAGUGAAAUCUGGACAAUUUUGCCCCUGUGUAUUUGUGAAUCAACUUUUACUCGAUUAGUUGUUGCAAUUAUGGAAGACUUUAGGACGAUUAGUGGUGGUUCUAAACUGAUAAAUUCAUAUUUCUCAUAAUUUAUGGACUCAGAUUGGUCCGCUCUGGUAUAUUAGUUUAUCCCAAUUUAAAUUUCAACAUUAACACGUCAUCGUGUAGGUGACAUUAAGAUUGAAGCUACCGUGAAUGGGUGAUCUUGCUUGUGCUAGAAAUUUAGGAAUUACUUACUUUAUUUGAGGUGUUGUAUUUUGUGCAAGUCAAUAAUUGCUUCGAUGUUUGAUUGCCUAAUUUUGAAGUUUUUGUUAACAUAUCUUCAUAUUACAUUGAUUAUCUUGUUUGAGCACUUGUACUUGACCCAUUUGAACAUUCUCUUGAUCUAAGAUCGUAAGUAUUAUGAAAACACUGAAAAUUUAGAACGGUGUAUACUAUGGCCUUAGGAUUAUUUUGUGUGACCUAUUUAUGUAGUCUGGGUUUUCUCAAAAUGUCUUCACAUUUCAAAGUUGGAAGUUUCAAUGGGAAAGGGAAUUUUUCAAUUUGGCAACAAAAGAUAAAGGGAAUUUUGGUUUGACAAAAAGUUUCAAAACCAUAUAUGGCAAAUUUUCUGAAAAUUUGACAAAAGCACAAAAAGAAAAAUUUGAUAAACUUAUUUACACUUCAAUUAUAUUACACCUACCUAACACUAUUUUGAGAAAAGUUGGAAAACAUGUUUCUACAAAGAACUUUGGCAAAAGUUAGAGGACUUAUAUUUGCUUAAGUCUAUUCUUAAUAAGUUGUACUUGCUUGAAAAAAAAAAUUAGUUUUAAAAUGGAUCAUUCAAAGGAUCUUGAUGACAAUUUGGAUGUUCUCAACAAGGUUGUUCAAGACAUUGUUAGCUGUGAUAAAAUGGUGUCUGAAACGUUAUUUUUCUUAAUUCAUUUCCUGAUUCAUAUAGAGAGGUUAACAAUGAAAUUAAGUAUGGUAGGAACACCUUAACACUUGAAAUUGUCAUAGAUUUCCUUACGAGUAAGAAAAUUGAGAUUAAGAUUGAACAAAAAGAUAAGAGAAGUUGUGAGCUACAUAUGAGAGAAGUAGAAUGAAGCUUAAGCAAUGAAUUUGGGUAGAACUCAAAAUAGUAGUGAAUUGAGUAGUGAGUUGAGUGAUGAUGGUAAUGAGAAGAAGGGAAAGAGAUGGGGACAAGCCUAGUGGUAGACGGUAUUACAACUUUGGAAAGUUUAGACACUUCAUUAGGGAAAGUCCUAAGAAGAAGGAUAAUCAAAAGAGUAAAAUGAGAGGUGAGGGAAAUGUAGUUUAGGGUCGAGUGAUGACCUUAGUGAGGUUUAUUGAGAAUAAACCUAGUUGCUGCAUAUGCAUCUAUGUACAAUCCUCUAUGUAGUUGUGUGAUUACUUACUUCUGUUGUAUGAUUAUAUGCUACAUUUCAAUUUGUUUAAUAUGUGCAUUUUCAUGAACUUAAGAGUAAAUUGAUUACAUUAUGCAAUUGUUUUCAUAUGUAGUGGGUUGGGAUGAAUUAGUAGUAUGUGUGUUGUGUGCAUAUUGGUGAGGUAAAGUAUAGAUGCCUAGGGAUACAUUGUGAUAUGUACCGAGGAUGUGGGGUGUAAUAUUUGCAUCACAACUGGAGAGGUGAUUAAAUGUUGCAAUCAUUUAUCUGUAAAGAGACCCUGAUUAGGUGAAGAGUGAGAGGGACAAUUCUAUCAUUUCCAUUCGGUGGAGAUCCAGAGGAUUAUCCCUUAGACUUAGGAUCUAUCAUGACUUACCAAUUAGACAUAGGUAGAGUGAUCAAUCUAGUGAGCAUGAUGAGCGAUAAAACGAGGUAUGUAUUCUUGAGGUGUAAGCAACACGUAAUGGGAUAAGAUAAGUGUGAUGAGAUCUUUUCGUAGGGUUAUUAUGCAAUUAUUGCAUAUGUUUUGACUGUUUAUUGAUUAACUUAGUGUUAAUAUGUUGUUCUGUAUGAACUAUUUCGAAAAGAUCUGUGUGUUAUCCUAUAUUAUCUCUUCAUCAUAUUUUUAUUUGUUUAGUUGAUUACUGUGAAUAUUUGUUUUUAUUUGGACGUUCUUGAACUUAGCCUUGGUGAUUAUAUGGAGCAAGUAUGGUAUGUGUGGGUCCAAAACACGAGGUAAGGUUUGUGAUCCAAAUUUUAUUAGUUACCUUGAUCAUAUAAGUACUGACUAUAUGUUUUGAUUGCUUGUAGAUUUAUUGGGCAUUAAGGUUGAGAUUUAUUGGGUUUUGAUACCGAAUAAAUCUCGGGCAACGAUGUUAAAUCUAUAUUGGAUAAAUUAAAUAUUGACACCUAAGAUUGAUGACUCGAUCCUAAAACUAUUUGGAGGCCAUUGGAAGUAAUCUAAUUAAUUAGAGUUGCUCAUGGCACGGUUCCUCACUUAUUGGAAGGCUUACUAGAUUUGACCUACUUAUCGUGUCUAUAUUUGGCUUGGCCCAUCACUAUGCCCUAAAAUAUCCUAUAUAUGUUGACCCUCUGUAGCUUUGUCAUUAAAGGGUGUUUUGACCCUUUGUUGAGAAGAAAAUCAGGGUUGCUUUUUAUCACCUUCUUUGUGCCUUUGCCUUUUAUUGUCUUCUCUUUGCCCUCGUGGCACCACUUGUGUGGCUGCAAAACACCGUCUCUUUUAUAUCCUAAGUAGGUAAAAUUAAAAGCAAUCGGGGUGUGGAAUAGUUGAAGGGAAUGGGUCGUGAUUUCUUAAGUGUUUUGAUGAGGGUGACAUUAGUAUACUGAGCUCGGAUUCCACUAAUUGAAGAUCAAUUCUGCUACACAACCAUUUGACUGUAAAAAAUCAAAAAUUUAAAUAUCUUACUAUUAGUGAAUUAACUAUGCAUUAUUUGAGCAUUUUUGUUAACAGCACUAAUGAAGGGGGAAAAAAAUUAUAAAUGCACUUUAUGUUUAGUUAUGAAUAUGUGUACAACUAUAAACUAGGAAAAUAAAACAAUUGUUGUAAGUGUUCAUCCUAAAUUGGUAGCAAUAGCUAUGAGAGUAGUUAGUUGCUUCUUGUACUGGGAAUGGACACUUAAAUUGUAACGACACAGACUAUAAUAUUCCAAUGCAUUCCCAAGCAUGAGGUUUUUAACAUAAAUCUCCAAAAUACGAUAUUUAGAAAAAAAAAAUUAAAACAAAUUUUAUUUAAUCAAACUAUUCCCUCAUAACUUUUUUUUUUUUUUUUGGGUACAUAUAAACUUAGGAAAAUAUAGGAACGAAACAACUUGAAAUGAGAUUUCAAUAAAACACAGCAAGCUGGGACAACUUUCUACCCCUGCACACUGAGAUUGAAAAAAAAAAAAAAAAAAAAAAAAAAAAAAAAAAAAAAAAAAAAAAAAAAAAAAAAAAAAAAAAAAAAAAAAAAAAAAAAAAAAAAAAAAAAAAAAAAAAAAAAAAAAAAAAAAAAAAAAAAAAAAAAAAAAAUUGACCUAGGAAACCUCGCCUAAAACUUAUAAAGUUUUACAGGAAAGUAUAAAAAUCACAUAAGUACAACAUAUAAAAAUUGGGGAUCUCAACAACUACGUUUGAAACCCGAAAUUAUUUCCGAACAAGCUGGUCUGCGUUUCCUGGAUUUGACCGUGACAGUUUACUAAAAUUGUUAUAGUAAAUUCUACGGGACUCUGAUCAACCUAUUUUCAGUUGCACAUGAUAAAUAACUCAUGAGGGAUCAUUUUCCAAUUAAAAACAUGCUAAAAUUCUAAAUAUACCGACCAUAGCACCAUUUUAAAGACAGUGGCUAAAUUCUGAAAUUUUCUAAAACACCGGUUCAAACGUUUAAAAUUUUCUGUCUCAAAACAUGAAUUUAAAAUUUUAAACUACAAGUUUCUGGGACAUCCCAAGGAUUAUUAAACAUUAAGUGGCCAUUUAAGCAUAAGAAAUAAAUUUCUCUAAAAAUAAUGCAUGCCAUCCAUGACGAACCAUCAUUUAAACUCCGAUUACUCUGAAAAGGUUAAAUAGGAGUGAGCAUAUCAAAGAAAUACUCAGUAGGCUACAUGUACUAUAUGAACAUAAUAAUCAUAUAUUCAAUCAUGCAUUCUUACAUGUUGCCUCAAUAAAUAAGGAAAUCGAUAAUCAAACGAUCUACUUAAAGUUUUGAUGAGUCUCUACGAUCAUUAGUCUAACAUAUAUAAAUAAAGUUCUGAUGAGUCUAUGUGAUCAUCAGUUUAAACGUAUAUAAAUCUUUUCUUUUCGUCAAAAUGGAAGAGAAAUUCUAAAGCACUUCAUAUACUUCGUGAGCAAAUAUAACUAAUGACAUGCUUAAAUGAAAAUUAGAUUCAUAUAUCGACGACUUUGUGUAGGAAUCCUACCUUAGUUCGAAGUGAUAAGAUAGUGUUGAUGUCGAACGGAAUUCCUCUCCAAAUCUCGAACGUAAAACUGUUUUCCCCUUCUUCUUUUUUCUUGGUUCUGUCGUGUAUAUGUAUUUAAAAGGUUUGGUAUCCUAAUGCCCCCCAAGGCACAUCCAAGUUGGCGGAACAAUCACAUUGGGGGGCUCUGGAACCAAGUGUGGGGAGUUCGAUUCCUGGUUGGAGCAGCCAAGUGAUGUAAUAACCAGAGGAAGGGUUGGAGCAGCUUGGUGAUGUAAUAACCAUGGAGGAGGGUCCCUUUGGGGAAGGAGUAAAAGUCAUGUGGGAACCUGGGAACCAACAAGAGCACAACCUGCGAUUUACCUUCACUAGUCACUGAGGGGCUGGGGGUUAGAGGUCCAGGAUUUAGUCCGGCUAAGUUGGGACACCUGGGUUAUCAAAAAAAAAAAAAAAAAAAGGUUUGGUAUCCUAAUGUAAUAGAAAUUCCUACAAAAAAAGAGCCUAAAAGGGUAGACUUUUAUUUCCAAGUAACAACAUCCGGAUAUGUGUUAGUUAUACCCCCCCGCCCCGCUUUUUUUUUGUUAGCUAGUUUAACCGUACACGGAAUCCUAGCAGAAAAAUUGUCAUUUAUUGUUUUUUUUUUUUUUGGACUCUAAGUAAUGCAAAUGGAUAAUUGAUAAAACUAAUUUAACUUAUAUAGUGAUUCACGUGGCCAAAAUGUUAAUUUUCCAUUCAAAUUCAAAAGUCAAAAUCCAAUUAUAUAGUGAUUCACGUGGCCAAAAUUUUAAUUGCUUAAUUAUCAAUAAUUAAAAUAUAACUUCCUUUGCACUACAAUAAUGUGGACCUAACUUAUCCAAAAUAACUUUGGGAAGAACACAUGAAUCCUAUAUAUAAAAAUCAUAUUUCUAAACUAACAAACUUUCUAAAGCAUUUCAAAAUUCAGGUGAUAAAUCAAUUAAUUAAAUAUUUAAUUAUAAUAUAAUUAAUCUACUACAAAACCCCACCCCACCAACCACACCAAUUUUAAAUUCAAGCAAUUCUCUCUCUCCACCCCACCUCAACUCCUGGGACUACUCCGACAACCCACCCACCUCCGGCAACCUCUCCGACGACUGCUCCGACGAGUAUUCUGGCUACCCACCCUUUUCGGCGAUCGCUCCGGUUUCGACGAGAAUUUCGACGACGAUUUCGGCACCGGAAAAAUAUUCCGGCGACCGUUCCGACAACUAACGCUACACCUUUUUUCUUUUUUUUAUUUUAUAAUGAUCAGUGACCAGUUUCAUUAGAUUUGUGACCUGUGAGGCUGUAACCAAAUCUAUUAGAUCUAUGACCUAAUCAUGCAGGAUGAAUAUUGCAUAUGAUCAAUUUCAAAAUUAAGAAAUAAAAUUUGAAAUUUCAAAAAUCAUACUAUUAAAAUUAAUCAAAAAUAUUUUUUAAUUAAAUAUAUUAAAGUCAUAAAUAUAUACAAUUUGAUUACAAAUUAUUGAAUUAAUUGUUACAAACUAUUUUUUUUAUCACAAAUCAAAAAAUUUGUAUGUCACAAUUUAUUCAUUAGUCACAAUUCCGGCAACCUCUACGACAAAUAUUCCGAUGACCUCCGGCAACUACCUUUUUUCCCCUUUCUUCUUAUUUUGGCAAUGACCCGUGACUAGUUUUAUUGAAUUUGUGAUCUAAUCAAGAGGGAUGAAUAUGCAUAUAACAAGACUUGUGUUACAUGUGAUGAAAUUUUUUUUUUAUGACAAGAUCUAUGUUAUAUGUGACUAACUGUAAUCAAAUUUAUCUUCCGUGUGAUUGUAUGUGACCAUCUAAUUUAUAAUUGUAUAUAAGCAAGUCACUAGUUGUGUAAUAUGUGACUAAUUGUGACCAAAUUUGUAUUCAGUGUGACUAUUUGUGAACGUCUAAUUUGUGGUUGUCUGUAACCAAGUCACUAACAUGUAUUAUCUGUGACUAAUUGUGACCAAAUUUACCUUCAUUGUGACUGUCUAUGACCAGAUCAGUCUUUUAACUGUGACGAAAUGUGAUCAAGUCACAAUCAAGAUAGAAUUGGUCACAAUCAGUCACAAAUCACAAUUUUUUUAAGUUGAAACUUUUUUAUAGAUCAAAAUUAUUAAAUUAAUUGAUCACGACUUUUUUGGUCACAAAUUCCACAUUUUAUAGGCCACAACUUAUGUAUCGUCGGCCACAAAUUCUCAAAUUUAUUGGUCACAACUUCUUGCCAGUCGUAGAUUAUCAAAUUAAUUAAAAAUUCAUUUGUCCUCUAAUUUUCAUACUUCUCAGCAUCCUUUUUCCAAAUCUUUUCCUGCAUAUUCUCUUCAUUUAAGAUUUCAUAUUGUGGAUUCAAAUUCAAUAACAUCAGACAACGUUGAAGAAUAAAGAAAAGUAUAAAAAAAGAACUAAGAAAAUAGUACACAAUAAGUGCCAAAGACACAAUACUAUUCUCUGCCUAGAAAUUUAACAGAGACUUGCAUCAAUAGGUGUAAUUUUUCAUGCUAACAAGGCAAGCUCCUUCAAACAUUAAACAGACAUUGAGCAUAAAUUAAAAUCAAAUAAAAUAGUGUUCUAUUAAUGUAUUUCAAACGCAAACUACAAAGUUAUUCCAUGUAAUGUUCUGAAAAUCUUCUGUAACUCGAUUGCUUGUAAAAAGAGAGAAAGAUCAGUUUUGCAUCAGUAGGUAAGGUGUAAGCGCACUUACACCUGUAGGUAAGGUGUAAGUGCACUUACAGACAAACAUGAGGUGGGAUGAAAUUUCUUGGAUUCAUUUGCCGCUGUGACCAAUUAAUUUGAGGCCAUAUAUACAACAAGAACACUUAAUUGUCUUUACACCACUUUCCUUGACAUCUUCCAGCAAGUUGCAAGAAUAUGAUGUAAAAAUCGAGUUAACUACAGAAGACUACAAAUCUCAGUCUACACCACCGCAUAAAUGCUCUACAUACCAACGACGAAGACACCACAACCACCGGAGAUCACAUAUCGGCGACGAAGACAACACACAAUAAUGCUCUACACCGCGCAGAUCUACACACCGUGAGCGUCGUCGGCGGUGGCGACACCCUGAGCGUCGCCGAUGGUGGUGACAUAGUGAGCGUCGUUGAUGGUGGCGACAUCGUGAGCAUCACCGAAGGUGGUUUGUGAUAGAGAGAAGGGAGAGAUAAUUUAGAGAGAGAGGAUGAUUAGGGCUUCACCACCUCCCCAAAUUUUUCGAGCCCUUUAACAGCCCCGACCAUUACUGGAGAUCCAAACCAUAGCUGUGAGGCGACAGUCAGCGUUGAUAUGUCUUUAGGUGGAGUAGCCGUCAGCUGUUCUCACGGCGCCAUUGUGGUGGAUGUAUUCGCCGGAGUCGGGGAACUAGAAAACAUAGAGAGAGAAGGGGGGCGAGAGACAGCAAAUUGGGUGUGGUGUGUGGUAGUUAUGAAUUUAAUAUAAUAUUUGUUUAAUAAUUCUUAAUUACCACCUGAAUUAUGAAAUUAAACUUAACCUCCUUUAUUUAUGAAAACUAGUUUUUAAACUUAGGUUUCUAGGUAAUUUUCCCAAUAACUUUUUCUCAAGUACAAAAUUCGCCAUUUACUAUGAGCUUCGAAACAAGCCCAAUAUUAAUAUGAAAUUUCUAGCUAGAAGAAUACUUGAUUAUUUGACCAAAAGUUAAAAUUUUGACACUAAGAUUAAUUUUUAAAUUUGUCCCUUGGUAUCUCAACUGACGAAACAUGUCAACAUGAAAUAGAUAAAAAUUUAUUUUUGGUUGCUACAUAAAUGGCAAUUAUUCUUUCCUGUUGGUGUGUUUUUCAGAUGAUCGAAGAGUUUUUUUCUUGAUUUUCCUUUUCGCUGAUUAUUUUGUUCAAGAAAGAUGCAAUAAAAAAAAAUUUCUUGACAUUGUAUUAUUGGCCAUACAUGGCAAGGUAUACUUUUUAAUUUUUUUUACCCCAUCUUGGUGUUCAUUUUCAUGAUGCAAUCUAGCCAUUCUGAGAAGCUUCCUUGGAGAAUACCACAUUUCCACCCAUACUACAACGUGAGAAACAGUUGAUGACUAAUGAACCUUCCCAAAUGAUAUAUAUAUAUAUAUAUAUAUAUAUAUAUCAGAGUGCCUACGGCCGGCUCCCCCACCACCGGAGAUCGGCCACGUUGAAGGUACAUUUUUCGAGAUCAACACACACACGCACAUAUACACACAUAUUUUCAUUAUUUUGUUAAUGGUAUUUGGUGAGGGGGAGCUAGUUUAGAGUUUUUUUUUUUUUUUUAAUAUCGAGACUGCAUUUGAGACUGAUUAAUGAUCUAACAGGGAAAAAACUGGUGGAUAAUAAUUCCAAGUCAAAGUCUCCUCAUUUUGGUGGACAUAAUUGUCAGUAUAAAAAUGAUGGCUAACUUGCUUUUUUGUUCUAAUGUUGAUGUCGCCACUUACAAAAAGAUGUGCUGCAACCUUGAAAAUUCUAUUAAUCUAACAUUAGUUUGCACCAUUUUCCUCAGGUGGUCCCUUAGCUAUUGACAUUAUUGAUAGAAAAAUGUAUAGUAGAAUAUAGAAAUUAUUCAUUGUUCAUUUUGCAUUAGUUAGUCAAGGCUUGAUUGUAAAAUAUCAUGAAUCAUAAUUUCUGUAACAUCCCAAUAUUCUUAUGGUAAAUUUUAAAAAAUUGAGGGACUAAAGUCAAAUAUAUUUAGAUUCUUUUUUUUUUUUUUUUGGAUCAAAUAAUUAGAUUUUUUAUAAAACAAGCUUUAAUACAUCAAUAUUGGACUCUUUUUGUAGCUUGUAAUUAAUUAAGUAUUUCUUCGACUCGAGUAAAAUUUAAUUCGGAUAAGUUAGACCCAAGAUAUUUAAGUUUAAAGAAGUUAUUAUUUAUUAGUAUUUAAUUAAGUUGGUUAUUGAUUUUAAAGUCGUUGAUGGAACAUGUAUAGAUAACUUUUUUAUUUGGAUUAGGAAAAGAAAGAGAUAAUUGUAACACCGGUAUACUGCAUCGUGAGAAACAGUCCAUGAUUGAUGAACCUUCCCAAAAGGCAAUUGUUAUCUUCUCAAUUAAGCCCUAAACAUUGAGCAAGUGUGUGUGUGUGUGUAUGUGUGUGUGUGUGUGUGUGUAUAUAUAUAUAUAUAUAUAUGGAAAAAACGAGUGGAUAAUAAUUCAAUUGGUUGAAACACGUGUUGCUUCCGUCAAAGUUCCCGUCAAAUUAAAUGGCUUUAACAUUUUAAAAAUUCCAAGUCAAAUUCCCCUCAUUUUGGUGGACAUAGUUGUCAGUAUAAAAAUGAUGGCUAACUUUAACUUGCAUCUUUUGUUCUAAUGUUGAUGUCGCUACUUACAAAACGACGUGAUGGAGCCUUGAAAUUUCUAUUAAUCUAACAUUAGUUUGCACCAUUUUCCUUAGGUGGUCCCUUAACUAUUGACAUUAUUGAUAGAAAAAUGUAUAGUAGAAUAUAAAAAUUAUUUAUUGUUCAUUUUGCCAUUAGGUAGUCAAGACUUGAUUGUAAAAUAUCAUGAAUUUUAAUUUUGGUAACAUCCCAAAAUUCUUAUGGCACCUUUUAAAAAAUUGAGGGACUAAAGUGAAAUAUAUUUUAAAUUCGUGUGUGUGUGUGUGUGUGUGUGUGUCAAAUAAUUAGAUUUUUGAUAAAAACAAGCUUUAUUACAUCAAUAUUAGACUCUUUUUGUAGCUUAUAAUUAAUUAAAAAUCUUCUAGUCAAGUAAAAUUUAAUUCAGUUAAGUUAGACCCAAGAUAUUUAUUUUUACUUAAGUCAUUAUUUAUGGGUAUUUAAUUAAGUUGGUUAUUGAUUUUAAAGUUAUUGAUGGCUAACUUUUUUAUUUGGAUUAGGACAAAAAAUAGAGAUUGUAAUUCAAAUUUUCAUCAUGGCCAAUUAUGAUUUUUAUUUGACUAAAAUUUCAUUACUUUUCUUUACUUCAAUUCGAAUAUUAGUAUACUAUAUCGUGAGAAACCUUCGAUAAUUGAUAAACCUUCUCAAAGGCAUUUGUUAUCUUCUCAAUUAACCUUCAACACUGAGUAAAUAUAUAUGAUAUCAAAAAAAUUGUGCCAAAAAUGUUUUAGGCACCGUAUUUUCAAUAUUUUGUUAAUGGCAUUUGGUUAAGGGAGCUAGUUUACUGUUGUUUUUUUAACAUUGUGACUGGAUUUGGGAUUGAUUAAAGAUCUAACAGGGAAAAACUGGUCUAUUAAAACUUUAUAAUUCAAUGUUUUUACUAAUAGAUUGAAACUAACUUGCUUUUGUCAAAGUCUCCGUCGAAUUAACCAUUUUAGUAAUCCCAAGUCAUAGUCUCCUCAUUUUAGUUUGCACCAUUUUCCUUUGGUGGUCCCUUAAAAAAAAUAAAAAAUAAAAUAAAUUCAAUCAAUCAAUCAAUCUAAAUGUCUUAUUUGCUAUCUGGAAUUUAUAGGAAAUUUCCUAGAGUUUGGACAAUAACUUAGGGACGAUAUUUUUAUACAUUGAAAAAGUCAUAAAAAUGAAUAGUAGUAGUUCCAGUCAAUCAACUCUACACCAAGUUUAUCCUUUAAAAAGGGAUGCUACCAAGGCUAAAAAUCCACCAAGCAACAUAUAUAGGAAAUUUUUACAGCGCUGCUAAUAACUCAGAUAAGCCAGAAUUAGUGUGUUCAUAAUUAAGAAAGAUGGGAAUAAAGUUACGGGUAAUGUUAGUGAUGAUGCUGCUUUUGUUACUAAAUGGACGGUAUUGUUUAGGGUAUUGGGAGGAAGAGAGGGUUGCUCUUUUGCACCUCAAAGAAAAUAUAAACUUUCCAAAUGGAGAAUCGCUACCUUCAUGGGUGGUGGUUAAUGAGAUUGGAAUUGACUGUUGUCAAUGGCAAGGGGUUGAAUGCAGUAACACAACUAAACGAAUAAUCAAAAUUAAUCUUGAUGGUGCUAGGGAUUUGAACUCUGGAGAUUGGUAUUUUAAUGCCUCUCUAUUUCUUCCCUUUCAAGAGCUCAGAAUUCUCUCUUUGUGGGGGAAUCAGUUAGUUGGUUGGAUUGAGAAUGAAGGUAUGAUGACAUCUCUCCUUAAUUAGGUAGCUUCAAUUUUAUCAUUCCUAUUUUGUUUCAGUGAUAAUUAUAGAUACGUUGAGCUUUGUUGUAGGUUUUGAUCAAUUGUCAACGUUGAGAAAUUUGGAGACCCUUGAUCUGGGGGACAAUUCAUUUGAUCGCAAAAUUUUGUCAUCUCUUAGUCAGCUUUCUUCACUCAAGCUUCUGGGACUUUGGGGCUGCUUUUCAAAUAGAGAAAUUUACGGCAAUAGUAAGUUCAAUAUACUUCAUAUUCUGGUGGUUAUUUUGUAGAUCAUGUAAUUACCGAAGAAUCAACCCUUUAGAAAAUAAAUCAAGUUAUUAUUAGAGCUUGUUUGGGAGUGAUUUUGAGAAUUGAUUUUUUGACCGUUAGGAAAAAGUGGGGUCCACCUGUGAAAGAAAAAGUCAAAUAUGACGACUGAAAUAGUGAAAUAACGAUCAAAAAAUAAAUUUUUUGGGUGAAAAAAUCUGGCCCAAACAGGUUCUUAUUAAACUUUUUUUUUGUUGCAGAAUCAGAUAAGCGAUUUUCCUAAACCUUUAAUUUUCUCUAUUAGAAGAGCAGAUCAAACAACCAAUUUAACCUUAUUAUUGUAUUAUGAGAAAAAAGCAAAGAGAGUAAAUAAUUUUAAAAUACAGUAACAGUAAAACGCUUUUAUGAAGAAACAUAUAAGUUCAAGAAUUUUUGGAGUGAAGACAAGUUAACAGAGUUCCAACUUUCAUUAAUUCUAUGAAUGCAAAAACAGAGUCCAUCGAAAAAAACAAUACAAAAGCCAGAAGCUUAACUUGAGAUUUUAUCAUUAAUUUAAGUUGUCUGUAAAAAAGAAAUCUUGGUUUCGUUUUAGAUAAAUCUACUUACCGUAGUGUAACUUGAAAAUUAUGCAAAUUGCUCUCCUAUUACAUAAAAACAUUGGUCAUUUGUUCCUUCCUAAUAAGUUUAGCAUUACUAUUGUAUAUGUUAAUCGUAUUGAGAUAUAUAUUAAUUGUGCAAAUCAACCUAAGUAAUUCCAAUGGAAAAGAGUAAGGGCAUGCUUAGUAAUUGAAAGUACAACAAAUAAGACAUUUUCAUCUUUAAUAUUCAAAUACUCCUUACCACAAAAGCAAUAAUAUUAUUUUCAUGAUUCUCGUCCAUUAUGAUUUUGUUUCAAGUCUUAGUAGAUUGAUGGAACAGUAGCCAUAAUAUUAUUUAGCAUUUCAUUAUGGAAUACACCUUUCUUUUUGUUUAAUUAUUGUCUCUGGGCAUCAUUUCAAUGUUGAAUAGCAUUGAUGAAACAUAUAAUUAUUUUUUACUAAAAAUCAUUAUGUAGGUCGUGAAAGACUCUUCGGAUUAACCAAGUUGGAAGUUCUUAAUUUUGCAUCUAAUCAUGGGAUUAUCGACGGUGACAUUCUAUUAGUGCUAAGUGAGUUUUCUUUCCGCAAGCCUGAUAUAUUGCUUUUAGGUCAUAGGACCUUUUAAUAUUAUUUUUUUUUUUAUUUUUUGUGUUUUUCGAUAGAUCUGAAUGAUUUUAUCAAUUUGAAGGAGCUCGACCUAAGUCAAAAUAAACUUAGAAGCUUGGGUACCAUUUACGGUAUAUCAUCUCAUUUCAUUCUUUAUCCUCGUUCAUUUUUAGUUUCCUUUUCUUUCAUUACUUCACUUGUGCCUUAUUAUGUAAGAGCAAAAGCAUUCAUGGUGUUUUGCUCCCAAGUCCUUCCUCUCGCUAAAUAGUAGUUUGUGGUUUAUUAUAUAGUAUAUUGUAACUUAUUGUGGAUUUGGUUAUACAAACAGGUCUAAAAUAUUUGAAGGUCCUUAAUUUACAAUCAAAUUACUUCAAUAAUAGCAUUUUCUCCUCACUUCAUGGGCUAUCAUCACUCAAGUCUCUAGAUUUCUCUUACAAUAAACUAAAAGGAACCAUCCAAAUGAAAGGUUAGUUCCAUAGUUUAGAGCUCCUUAUUUUUCUUAUUUUUAGUCAAUCGAAACUGAGUUCUCAAUCAUCAUUUUCAUAUUUUGCUUGUACAUGUUUAUUUCUCCACCUCUAUCAAGAUUUACGGGCUUUGAGUAAUUUGGAGGAGCUUGAUCUAAGUGGCAACGAGGUCGACAACUUCACGACUCUAAAAGGUACUCAACUAGGUUUUUCAAGUUUAUAUUUUCUAAAUAAUGAACUUCGAUACGCUUAUACUUGAAUAUUACCCUAGACAGUUCUACGUUUCAGGCAUUAAAAGUAUACAUAGUCUCCAAGUGCUAAAAUUAGAUUCCUUAUAUCUCUCCAACAUUAGCAAUAUGGUGCAAUCUUUGAGGGCAUUCUCUUACCUCAAGCACUUCUAUUUUCGGCGCAAUUCUG